This 50078-nucleotide long non-coding RNA is filed under the name Setaria viridis. Its description in RNAcentral is "long non-coding RNA (SVIR_LNC001153)". Lineage: Eukaryota; Viridiplantae; Streptophyta; Magnoliopsida; Poales; Poaceae. The record is from RNAcentral.
GGAACAUACCUGCUGAUAGCAGGUUUGCCCUAGACAAUUACAAGGUAAUUUUUUAUAUUAAGCCAGUACUUUGUUUGAAGAGUUUUUUUAGGAGGCUUAAGACAGUACUCAUGCCCUUAACUACUAGCAAUUCUUAAUACCAAAACUUUAAGGUUUGCUCCUUCAGCCUCAUAAUAUGUUUAUCUCUGUGUCUGUGAGCACAUUAGGAUACUAUUGCUACUAUGGUGCUAGCGAAUAAAAUAGCAAAACAGCCGAUUUCCAUUGACCAACAUUGUUUCAACUACACUGCUAUUGAAUCAUGGCGUAAAACACUAAAACCCUUAACUGGUGUAUCAAUUAUGCUAAUGAUUAGACGUUAGUUUAUGGUUGGCAGAUGCCACACUGCAGAAUCAAUUAUUUGAAUGUAACAUAACUUUGCAGGAACUAACCUUUUCCUUAGCAGCUACUAGUUCAGUUCUUCUUUAUUAACUUUUAUCUUAAGUUUACUAAUAUGUAUUCUGUUAUGCCUUCUGAGUAUUUCAUUAUAGCUGAUCCGUUUCAUGUACCUUGGGUUUCCAGAACUUGGCAAACAGAUCCCUGGUCGAUGAGACGCUACGGAAAGUGAAUGGGUUAAAACCUAUUGCUGCUGAACUUGGUGUUUCAUUAGCUCAACUUUCAAUUGCUUGGUGUGCAUCAAACCCCAAUGUCUCUUCUGUGAUCACAGGAGCCACUAAAGAAAGCCAGGUACAUUUUGCACAACUUCUGUUCCGCAGAGAAUUUUUGCUUAGUUAGGCAAGCAUUCCUAAACAGGUAAUAUUAACCUCCGGCCCAUUGGCAACUGCAUGAACAGAUUGUGGAGAACAUGAAGGCUCUUGAAGUUAUUCCUCUGCUGACUCCGGAGGUGAUCGACAGGAUUGAGGCAGUGGUCCAAAGCAGGCCGAAACGCACCGAGUCAUACAGGUGAAGUGGUACAGACUGCAGAAUGAGUGCCAGGGAGGGAUUCGGCAUUCAUCUGAUUGAGUUUAGGCCAUGCUACCUCACCAGCGUUUGAUGUCAUGGAACUAUAUGCAUGCUUUUGUGUAUUCUCGGUGUCCCGGUCGUGGUGCUGUGUUCCAAACAUUUCCCAUGUGGUGACCACUUUGUGGUCACAGACAGCAGUUUGUCCUGUGUGUAUUCUGCAUUUCCCGGUGGCAUCUAUUCCGAUUCCUGGUAUGCCAUGUUCAGCUUGGACCAUUCCCACCGGCAUCGUUGUUGCUUCCGAAAUUUAUCGAGGACUCUAUAUGAUCCUUAACUGCUGGUUGUGCUGCAAGAUUUCUGGAGUGUGAUCCUCUGUUGUAUCAGCUCAUUCUGUUGCUUGCAGUUGCAGGAAUUUCCUGUCCAAUCUUCUGGAGGGAAAAAGGGCAGUACCGGCUCAAAGGAGAUUCUUUUCAUUCCCAUCGGCGUGCUGCUGCUGCGCCUGCAGAGGCAACGUACGGAGUAGCUUUCAGGCUGCUGUUCAAAUGUGCGAUCGCAUUUGUCCAUUCGCAAGGUAGGUUCAGAGGCACGCUCAGGCACCGCACAGCCACGAACAGCAGCAGCAUAGUGAGCUAUCAACAGCAGCCUCGAAGGAGCUUUCAAGAGGCGCGCAAAUGGCGCUUUCACUUCACAUUUUGUCUCCCCCGGUAGUUGGAAUGAGAGACCACAAUAACUUGCACAAUACUGUUCGGCGCUGCGAUUGAGAAUCGGAUACGAACGCAAAUAUGAAACAGCAGAACAGAACGGAAACAACCGACACUUUGGAUAAAAACAGUGUGGGCAAAAGAGACGGAGUAGAUGCUCAUAGCCAUGAAUGAGAAGAGCUCAAAGAAGGCGCCAAAGGGCAAUUGAAAAUAGAACAUAACACAAGAGACAGCAGAGGCUUUCACAGCUUUUACUAUUUCCACUAGACACAAGUAAUUCCCACAACUAUGCCAAGGAUACGGACUGCUCUUAUGUGAUAUCAGACACAUUUCAAGCUUCACCAGCGGUAUAGCUCUCCAGCAACAGCGCCCCAUCGGCAGUUUUCAAGCUCUGCCUCUUGUGCAAGCUGCACUUCUGUGAACGCCUUGGAAUCGUGGACCUGCAGUACAAUGAUUGGAAAUUUUGGCAUCAAAACAAGGUAGAAUCCAAGUGCAUAAAUCUUGUCUGAUUACGGUGCUAUAAAACAGUAGAUAACCAGAAUGCCUUAAACCUCCAGAUUCAACUAACUGGGAAAUACAAACAACAAUCCAUUUAACUAGAUUCCUGCCAGAUGUUUACUAUUGUUUGGGCUGAAGAAGAAAGACAAGAAUCUAACCAAGACCGUUGUUGGCAUCUGAGGUCCUCAUGAUCUUGAGCCUCUUCACUGAACCUACAAACAUCCUGAAGAGGAGAACAAUAAGCCUCUGAAAGAGCUAUUUAAAGACACUUUGAGAACAGUUAACAUUACAAUAUAGUUUUUAACUUAUUUCUAACAUAGUGUAGGGGACUUACUCCCAGGGAACAUCUCCAACGAGCAUCCAGUCCCCAUCCCGGUCCUCAUAGGUGAGCUGAUAUUCCGAUGAGCUGUCCAAUAGAUUCAGAGACUUUGCACUACCUGAUAAUGUCAUGAUCAAUUCAAAUCAGGUUCAGGAAUGAGUGCAGAAAAGGCAUUCUCAAAAGCUUAUGAAGCCACAUUUAGAAUAGUGUCACUUCUUAAGUAUAUUUUUGAGUAUACAGCCCACCAUAUAUAGACCCCAAUGCUGUAGAUCGAUGAAUUGACAAAUCAAUUGAAUAGUACUUAAGAGUUUCUGAUUCAUUGUAACAUUACCAUUUGCAAGCAAUACUACACUUCUUAGUGAUGGUUGUCAGAAAAAGAAAAAAGAGAUCGACGGCAUAUAGGUUGACGUGAUCAGAAUACACACUAGACUAUGAUAGAUAAAGUAAAGGAUCAGAGUAUGACAUACUAGAAGUGCAGAGACCGAUGGACGGCUUCAUGAACAUGAGCUCAAGUGCUGAGGCAAGGGUCUUAUAUGAGCGAUGGGCAUUGAGAUCCACCUUCCUUCCGAUAAUAUCUCCAUCCAUGUUCACCUUCACCCAACCGACGACCCGUCCUUUCUUCUCGCUCUCCUUGUCUUUCUGCAUGCCUGAUUCAUCGGCAGCCUUCUUGGUGCCAGCCUCUGAAGCAUUUUCUUUGGCCUGGUUGAAUAGGCUGUUCAUCCUGAAAGUUCUUAUGGGUGGCCAUCCCACCACUCCAAAGCUGCUACCAAAUCGGAAAAUGCAGUUCAGAUUAGUUGAAGCUGAUUUGGGCAGCUCGGCAAGGAAGGAAAUAUUCCUUGUUUCAGACAAAAUAUUAGGAUACUGUUUUCUUGUCAAGAAAAUUUUGAUGAUUGCAGAUCUGAAGGGCAAUGCAACCAACAAAAGUCUCCUUUAUAUUCUCCCUCGAGUUUUGCAGGAUGCUCAUGUUUUUUUUUUAAAAAAAAAGGAAGUUUCAAUAAUGGAAACGAUGCAAAUUAGGUAGCUUUGGCAGGAAAAAAAAUUAACUAUAGGAGUUGUGUGCAUAAACAAGAAAGAAGGUUUAUUUCUGAAGGGACGAAUUAAGUGUAAAUGCACGGUGACGCCUCCUCCUACCGUCCUACGAUCCUAACAAGAAGCAGAACAAGUAGGCACUUAUAGAGAUUCCAACUUUUUCCCUUGAAAGAGAAAGUGCAUGCUCGCAGCCGUUGUUCUGCAUAGAUGCAGAAGAGCUGUUCUUGCUGCUCACCUCUGCGGGUGGCCAGAGGCGACCGUCCCCGGCGAGGUGGUGGCGUUGGGCGCCGCAUCCGCCUUGGCCCUCUUGCUGGCCGCCGCCGCCCCUGCGGCAGGGGAGGAGGACGACACGGAGGAGUCCGGAGACAGGGCUCCCGGCUGCAGGUCCCUGGCCGUCAGGAUCCGGCACGGUGCCGGCGACGGGGUCUGCUGCUGCUGCUGCUUCUUGGAGCCUAGGCAGAGCCCCAGCUCCAGCUCGUCGUCCUCCUGCUCCUCCUCCUCCUCGCCGCCAGAGUUCUCCUCCACCUCCUCCUCCGCCGCCGCAUCCGGAGGCGGGUCGCCGGCGAUGAACGCCACCGUGGGCCCCGCUCCUCCUCGCAUCGCGCUGCUCUUGUUCUUGGCUCAGUGACUGCGGCGAUGGUGUGUGUGUGUUUUGGGAGAGACACCUCGAGAGGGAGGAAAGGAGCUGUUACUAUUAUCUGAGCUGAGCUGAGUUCUGGGUAUGCGUGCAGGGCAGUAUAGGAAGCUUUCGCCUCCUGCAAUCCUGACUCGUGGGCCCUGCAGUGCCGGGUUAGCCCCUAAUUGCUAGGAGCACCAGCGGCCACUUGUCUAAUGUACCGCUUGUUGGAUUUAUCAAGUAGUAUAUCAUUUCCAACAAUAAAUUGCUAUAUGUAUUUAGAUGUAGCUAAAGAAAAAAGUCAUAAACCGUAUUUUUCUUACGCAAAAGAUGUUAUCUGCAUAAUAGUUUUACACUCUUUUGGCACGAUAAUGAUAUCGGUAGCUUCAUUUUGGUUACAUGGACUUUUUAGUGGUCAUAUAGAAAACUCGCCAAUGCAUGGAAAAGCAUUAAAACUGAGGAGAAAUAGCGUUGGGCAUUCAGGAUGCACUAUAAAAACAAUGAUAGGCAAAAGGAUGCUUGGGGUUCAAGAGAAACUAUCAGCAAUCAUUUUAUUAGGUGUCUCGCAUAUAAGUUAUUUUUUUAGAGUUCCAGGGUAUACUCCCACUUCGAUUUCAUUGCAAAAAGGACAACAAGGAAGAUUGGAUGGUAGCACGUGCUAAUAGGUAGAGGAAUGUAUGAAAAUCGUGUCAAAAUUAGCACUUGAGAUUACAAACAGGUUACAUCACAACAUGCACGGUAGCAAGUUUCAUGUACAAGACCAGCUAAAGCUGGUCCAAGGCGCGCGUAGUGGGGGGAGGAUGAGAGGGUAGGCAAAGCAUUUCGUGGGGGGCCUCUUUUGAUCCUCGUUGCCCGUUGCGUGGUGGGGCCCCGGCGGGGUAGCUUUUGUUGGGUGUAGAAAAUGCAAAAGACAAGGGAGCGGAAAUGGGAAGAGGGACGGAGAAAAGGCCGGGAAAGCUCUCCAUCACGUGAGCCGAGCCCCCCUCACCUCACCUCACCUCAGCUCACGUGUCCAUCUGGAGCAGAGUGCAUGCUUUGUUGUGUGCUGACUUUGACUGUUGCAACAGCCAGUAGACAAGCAGGGGUGUACGUGUAGCGGAACUGGAAGAGGGAAAGCGAGCGAACCAGGGCCCCGCCCCGACAAGCCGACACGGCCCGACAGCCUUACCUCUCCUACUCGUCCCCACCACCAUUUCCGAUUUCUUUCUCUCCUCUGCCUGCCCUUAACCAUCAACCCAUUCCUACCGUCGCUGCUGCCCAACCAACCGCGUUCGUGCAUACCAGUAGUGCCAAUACACUACUAGUAGGAAAGAGAGAUUUUUUAAAAAAACAAGAGUAGGAAAUAUAUAUUUUUUAUUUAUAAAUAUAAAGGGUAGAAAGAGAUUGGUGAGUGCAAGGCUGCAAGUAGCACUCGACACCUCCGUCCGGCUCUGUGUCUCUCCGCAAGGGAGCAGGCCCACCAACCAAUAGAAAUGCAAAUGCAAAUGCAAAUGCGCCGCGAUACGCGAUGAUGGCGCCCAAGAUCCGCAUCAGGGACAUCAUGUCCUGCAUAAUCAUCCCCCUUUCUGUAAUUUGUUUAUGCACCCCAAUGUACCAAGUAUCAUUUCAAGUUCCUGCAUACCAGUAGUGCGUCACCUUUUGACCAGCAGAGAGCUAGCAGCUACCACUACUUCACUGCCAAUCUUAUAGCUGCUCAGUACUCGCAGUGACUUGACAGUGGUUUAAAACUUCAUCAAAUUUCGAAAACAUCCCCCUUGGCAGUCGAUAAGCUUCCAUGAUCCAGCUCAAUCCCCUAGCGCUAGCAGGAACAGCUUAGGUUUUAGGUUAUCUGACUUGGGUGGGUACUGAAAGGGAAACACAAUUUCCAAAUCCACCCAAGCAUUCUGGCUCAGAUCAACCCGAAUAUGAUACCAGCAAAAGAGGGGAUACAGUAUCCCAGAAGCUACAAGUAGGUGGCCACCAAACAGGAAGAAGCAUCUCAUCUUGUUGGAAUAACUGUGUGUGUAUCAGCCUAUCAGGCAAGUACAAGAGAGGGAAGAGAACUUUUGAGUACACGCCUCAAGCCACCAAAGUGGCAAACAAUACAAUGGCUACUAUUCUUCUCCGAUUUUCAUUACAGAUCUUGAUUCCUUGGUAAAAUAUACAAAUCAGAGCAAUACAAUCAAUAUCAUGUGCUGAACAAAAACAGAUCCAAAAGCACUAUGACAUAUGACAACUCCAAGGGAGGAACAUGAGACUAGAAUGUGGCUCUGGCCUGUUGCUGCUUACAGGCACCAUGAACAAGUUCCUAGCCGGCAAGGUGACUGGGAGAGCUCUUGAACAUCGUGUGCCACAUGAAAGCCCUGGAGAGGACCAUCUCAAGCUCGUGGUGCGCCCAGGUCCUUGUGGGAAGGUGCUGAAGAAACAUUACCAUUUCUUGAAAAUCCAGUUUCUGCAGUUUGUCUGACCACUGAGGGGGGAAAGGGUUUCAAACUAUCAGAAACUCGAAAUUCUGGCAAGCAUGACAGAGAUUGCUGUUGGUGUAAUAAAAACACAUAAACAUAUUUCAAAGGUGACUUACAGUUAACAAAAAGCUAGCCGAUAUGUACACAAGAAAAUCUGGCAGAUAAUCUCCUUCAGCAAGAUAUGUAUCCCAAAGGCGCGUGACAAGAUGAAAAGGUAUCUACAUGGAUAUGUGACAGGUCAGCAACCUUUUUACAUGUAUGUGAAAUACAAAAUCAAGUCAUCAAGUGUAGCAGGAACAAACCUCCCGUAUCAGGAGGCAGUUGAACCAACGGAAGGCAAAUUGAAGAAACUCUAGUCCUUGCUCUUCAAUGUGCUUGGAUACAGGUUCUGCAUACAAUGAUACAACAAAAAAUUAUGAGGUCAAGGAUAAGUGUUUUUCCAAUCAUUGACUAGGCACUUUCAAAAUGAUGUUUCUACAAGUAUAUACAUUAUUUAUCUCCACAAAAGGGCCCAGUUUCCAUUAUUCUGUCACAAUUACUUUAGCCGGAAGGGCCAUUACAUAUGGGUUGAAAAGUGAAAUUUGUCUGCCACAUCGUGGAACCAGAAGUGGCAAAACAUGAGAAUCAGUGGAACAUUACCAUCUAUACGACGAACUAGUUCCUUCAAUCUAAAAACAAGACGCUGAAUUCCUGGUUGUGCAAAGGUGUAAUGAUCCUGCAUUCCAUCAAGAAACUUCGAGAGACACCAAUAGCAGUCUGCUUCUAUGUUAGAAAUGUCCUGUGCUGAAAGAUUGUCCAUCGACCAACCGUCCAUGUUGCCCUCUAGGUGCUCUGAUAAGAACACGAUCAAGAAUGGCGUGACAAGGUCAUUUAUUCCUUGGACGUAGCCGCUUGCUGGGUGACGAAUAGCCCUGAAAACCCCACAUCAGAACAAUGGAGAUAAGCAAAUUAACACAACCCUGGUUGUAUUAAAUACGAAUGACAGCGCCAACAGUCAAAAAAUAUUAGUAAAAGUCAUGUUUGCACUAACAGAACGGGCCUGCAUGUGGAUGAUAAUUUGGACUAAAGGAACCAUGUUACUGCCAAAUCAAGAAAACAAACUUCGAAUUAAGAACAAUACAUCUAAAUGUAAAUAGAGAGUGCACUAAAUAUAGGAGACAUACUAGCACAUAGACGAAAUAUAUGAAAGUAUGAAAAGACGGAGAAGUCAUUGGUGCUGACAGAAUUGGUGUACAUGUAGGUGAGACAGAGAAUCUAUUUCAAAGGAAACAAGCAAUCAUGCUAGUGCAAAAGGAAAGUGUUCAGCAUUAAGAUCCAUACAUCAAGAUGUCAAGAUAAAGACUCAAUUCAUGCCAAGCAAACUAAAGGAAUAAAUAUAAGAGCAAGUUUAGUGCAAAAUUCAUCCAUUUAUCCAAGUUUUCCCACAGAAGAUAUAGAGUCGCAAUGGGUAAAGAAGAAUUUCACAAAUGUAGUAUUAUCCACACCGGAAACAAGCAUAUUUGCAUACAGCAGGCUGACGUCAGGAGGAAAAUAGUGCAUCAAAAUUGGAAAUAAGAUAUAUUUUUCUGUUGAUGAACCCAACACCACCACCAAAAAAGGAAGAAAGAAAGAAAACAAGCCAGCCAAGCUCACACCUUACCAUGUAUAUAAAAUGCGCUCGAGAGAUUUCUGAAUUUGAGGAUUCUGAAAAAAGGUAACAUCAGGUACAGUUCUUGGGCAGUCAACUGCAAUCUGCAGGCCAACAGGUGAUUGUAAGACAAUUGAUUUUGAGAAAAUAGGGUGAGGGAAUGAGUCGAUAAGUUAUAAGCCAAAAAAUGUUACCUGACGAAGCAUAGUAAUUUCUUCAUCUGAGCGUUCACUAUCCGGGAUAUCGUAGUAUUGAGAAACACAUUCCACAUACUCUAGUCUUUUUCUUGUUAGAACACCUUCUCGUCUAUCUUUAUUAGGUGGCGCAUAUCCCUGUAGCCAGCUAUAUUAAAUUCAAAAAUUGGAACAGAACAUUCGAAAGAAGUUCUGCGAUCUUUACGUGAAGCAUGUCUACUCACCAAAAGAAGCCUCCAUACAUUAGGCCGCAUAUAUGGGGGGACACCGCUCCAAGAUAAUUCACGCAAUUUAUCUACAUAAUGGAGGAUAGAUUGCAGCUGUCAGCUGAACUCUAGAUAAUCUUGAAGAACCAAAAUAUAUUAAAUUUUAAAGUUUUUUCAAAGAAAAAAAAGCCCAAAAUAGGCUUUAUGAUUUAUCAACUCUGACCUGAGAUAGAAAGAACGAGGGGGCAGAAAAAAAGUAGAUAAAAGGCAGCAAGGAUUACACACACAUACAAAAAAAAAGAUGGCCACACUAUGACUUCUUAGUUUGUGGGUAUAAGAAGAAUCAGAUACUCUGAAAUGCUAGUUUUCAUUGUAUUGGAAGUAACUUUAUAUCAUCAACAAAAGCAAGCUUAAUCGAUAAACUGAAGCGAAAAACAUAGCUUCUGUAAAAUACAAGGAAUAACCACUUAUCAGAUUAUCAUUGUACAUAACUUUUAGUAUUUUUUUAUCUUUGUCUUCCUAAACACAAUAAUGCAAAAGCAUCCAAAUAGAAAAAACUAGAGGUGAUCAGCCAUGCCUAAUAUAAGAAAAUUACUGUAAUGUUUACUUCUGAGAUCAAACUAAUUCCCGCAAAAAUGGUGAUGAAUUCAAAAUAAUAUAGUACAAAGAAUAAUCUGCAUACCUAAUAUAACAGCUGGCCUAGAGAGUUCCUUUGUGAACUUAUCAAUUCUUGCAGAAUCUGUAGCUCUAGCCCCAGAAACUAGCCCUUGGGCAUCUGGUAAUGAAUUUGAGCUACUUGUUGACAGAGGAUUUGAUUUCUUUGCACUUGCAUUGUCAAAUGAGUUUCCAGAUGCUUGGCCUUCUCCCUGCACAAUGUCAACUCCAUCAGUUACAAUACAUCUUCUUUGCAUGUCAAAAACAGUCAAACUACUAGCAUAUUACCUCCUGUGAACCUUCCUUGCGCUCAUCUUCAUCAUGCUCAUUCUCAAAGCGUGGAGAAUAAUCAGGAGGGGAAAGAGGCUCAGAUCGCCGAGUUAGCAAAACCUUCCCAGGAAAGCUACGUCCUUUGAGCAUUCUGACAGAGUGUGGCAAAACGACCAAAAAUCGUUUGUAAUGAUACAAGAACAUAGGGCAUACAGUGCCUAGCAACUGUAACAAAUAUGUCUAAUGAGAACACUGAGUAUAGGUUACAAAAGUGCCAUUUGGUUACUUUUGGGUCACAGAGUUCUCAAAUUGAAUACCCGUGGUAUAUAGAUAAAGAGACAGAUCAAGAGCAUUUCUUCGGGAUAUGCAGCCUAGGGACUUAACUAGUGUACUGACACUGAGAAAAGCUAUAGCCGUAUGCACGAGUCUCAUUUCGCAGGAUUCAGAUCGAUGAUGGAGAAAGGCUCGCGCGAGGGAGGAAAGACCCGGCUUACCCUUGCACGUUGCGGAGCGUCUGGUUGAAGCGCCACUCCGUGUUGUUGGGGCUCCCGCCGGCACCGCCGCCGACUCCUCCGCCGCUGCCGCUCAUCGCCGCCGGUCCGGGGCUGCCUGACUCAGGCAAGGCAACCGAGCUCAGGCCCAGGCGCAGGGAAUCGGAAGCCUGAGCUUGUUGCGCACUCUCUUCACGCAAGCCCGCAAAGCAUCGCCGAGAUCCACGGCGUUGCCGCCCGUGCACUCGCCGCUGCUGCGCCUGCCGCCUGCCUGGCUGGCUGGCCGCCGUCCGCUCGAUCUGCUGCGAAGCAACCGGUUCGGUCACCGAUCUAUGGUGUGGAGAGGAAGCAGAAGGAAUUGGGGAUCCAUGGGAAUGCAACUGAAAGCGCCUUGCCAGGAAUCUUCACAUCGCAGCAACGAAAGCGUAAUUUAUGCUUUACGCCUCUCGCGUUCAUUACAGUACGUGGUUAGCUUUGGGGCACGCGGAGAAUUUUGUUAUCUGGCUAUGUAUCCACUAAGCCCAUUCUCAAUGCCAUGUUUCAUAAUAAUUAUAUAGAAAUAGUGCCACAUAAAUAAAAAUAUAUUUAGUUCAUGGAUGAAAUAACUCACAUAGUGUAUAGUUUCAUCUUUUAUUAUUUUCGAAGCUACAUGCAAGAUACAAAAUCUUGAAAAUAGUGUACACAUGGUUUCAUCCCCGUGAAACCACUUUCUCCUCUCACUUCAUAAAUAGUGUACCAUGAGAUCAAAAUUAGCUAUGUAACAGCUUAUUUAUUAUCCAUGAAACCCGCAUUGAGAAUGGCCUAAGAGGCUUCAAGUACAUGAGACUAGGAAAUAGAAUCUACAAAUAAAUUAUUGAUAAUUAUAUCGUAUUGUAGAGUUAAUCUAUCUCUUCUCAGUUCAAAACUAACGUUAUGUUUAGAUCUCCGACACCAAACCUUCAUGUGGCAUACUCCUCUCAUGUGAAGCUCAACUCUAGAAAUGAUGUCCGCCACUUUUCUCUCACCAUGUCAUCUACUCCGGAUGCCAGGAUCCUCAAGGAUCUACUGAUAGUAAAGAGCCUAGCUCCAAACCAGCUAGCCGCGCAUCAGCGGUUUAAUCAAAUUUAUGUGAGGAUUUUUCUUAAUGAUUAUAAAAAAAUAUUUUGAGAAUACGUAGGAGAGCUACGUGUCAUUGCAUUACAAAGAUAAUUGAAAGUUUUUAACAUGGGCCAUUCACCGGGCGCACGCACACGUGUUACAACAAACUUACGCGACUAUACGGCAAAAGAAAACAACCCGAGCUAAGGCCUAUCCUGUCCAGUCCCAGUUGCUGAUGCCGUUGGCCAACCAAUGGUGACCAGGUGUGUUGCCCCGGCUUGUAUCCAUAGUUGGCCUUCCUCCAAGAUCAGAGCUGCAACCUGAGCUGCUGAGUUCUCCGGCUGGCUUCUCCUUCCAGAGCCUCCAAGACGGAAGCAUGAAGGCUGAAUCCAGACCUCUCCUUUGCAAUUUGUUUAGUCCUGCUCUUUUCUCCAGCCACCAAUCAACUGUUUGCAUAUCUUGAGAUGGAGUCUGAUUGAUCAGUCCAAGGGAUAAGCUGAUGCAGUGCCACACUUGUUGGGUGAAUGAGCAGGAACAAAACAGAUGAAUUCUAAAGGCUGAAUGACUGUAAAAAAUAGUUGCAUAUCUUUGCAUGAAGGCUGAAUGAUUAUAAAAAAUAGUUCAGAACAAAAAAAACGAGACGAAUUCACCAUUUUUUUUUCUUUUCGAAAAGCAUUCUACGACCAUUUUUAGUCCAAAAAAGUACUUUGUCUGCUAGCUAACCAGUAGUACUUUGCAGCUUUGGACCGAUCAAAAUUUACGGUAAAUGACGGGGCCAUGUCAGGAAUGGUCUAUCUUUCCAAAUAUACUGGAGCAUCACCUGUAAUCUGUAUUCCCAGAAUCCGGUACCAGUUCAUUCAGAAUCUGGAUCGAUAAAGCAUGCAUAUAAUAAACAGAUCGGCAAUUCCCAAUCAGCCUGGUUAACAAAGGUGCUAUUUUAUCCUUUUGGUCCAAGUACAGAAGGCAUGAGGAGGAAUUCAUUUGUCUCUUCAGAUCCGGGAAAUAAGCCAAUAACAGAACAAGCUCAGAACAUUGAGCUUUUUGGUCACAACACCCUUCUCUCUCUCUCGUUUUCAUCAAAGGGUGGCUACAACAGGAUACUGUAUGAUGCCCUUUUAUUCUCGUAUUGUAGUGUCUGUGAAAAAACAUACGGAUUUUUUAGUACUAACAUAGCAGGCUUAAUUCUUGACAAUGUUUCUGCAAUUCUACUUGGCGUCCCUAGAUAGAAAAUUGUGUGACUGGAUGUCCCGAACGUUGGAGAGUUCAUCCACCGUGUCUCCCCGCUCAAACACAGCUGCUGCGCCCAUCCCAGAUCCUGCAAUCGACACAAAGCAAUAUGGUCAAAUUACAUUUACGCGUUACGCAUCCUUUUGCCUUUGCAAAUGCAAAUGCAAGUAUCUAACAACGAGCAUGAUGGAGAUAAUAAAUCUAACCGAUGCACAUGGUGACGACACCAAAUCUGCAGUCUCUGCCUCGGCGCUUCAUUUCGUUCAGAAGAGUAGCCACACACCGUGCACCUGAACAACAAAAAGAAACCACUAGCUUAGAUGACUUUGCUCAGACGACCUGGUAACAGGUACCACAAUGGCAGUGGUACUCUAUUUUCCUGACAAUCUCGCAUACAAGUAUAAUUCAGUUACCUGUUGCACCCAGAGGGUGUCCCAUGGCAAUCGCGCCUCCAUUCACAUUUACUUUGGAUCGGUCCAAUCCCAGCUUGUUGCAGCAAUAGACAAAUUGAGAGGCAAAUGCCUGCAAGUGGAUGACUUGGUAAUCAGCUGUUGUUAAUAGAUGACAGAAAAGCUGUGGAAUAUGACAAAUAAACAGACCUCAUUCAGUUCAAAGAGAUCAAUGUCUUCAAUCUCAAGGCCAGCAGACUUCACUGCAGCAGGAAUGGCUACAGCAGGACCAACACCCAUUACAGCUGGAUCCACUCCGACAGCAGCAAAGCUCCUAAUAGAUUAUGUCAAGAAACAUUUUAGUCUAAGAAUGAACUGAGGAUAGUAUAUGUCAAAACAAUGAUGGUAAACACAAUGUGAACUAAUGAAGAUGUUGUAUGUAUAUAUGUAAAGGCACAUAAAGUACCUGAAAACACCGAGAAUAGGAAGCCCUUUCUUCAAAGCUACAGAUCUCUUCAUGAGAAGAACAGCUCCAGCACCAUCACUCACUUGACUAGAAUUGCCUACACAGUUUGAAUGAUUUAUCAGAUGAUGUUUCAGCAGUGAGUGAAAAAAAACCCCAGGAUGCAGGGGAGUGUCAAUGAAAAUAGUUGUCUUCUGCAGCACCUGCAGUUGUAGUCCCAUCCUUUUUGAAAACUGGUUUAAGCUUCGCCAAUCCAGAUGCUGUGGUCCCUGGCCUAAUUCCAUCAUCAACUGAUAUCACAACUUUCUUCUCCUCUCCAGUUUUAGGAUCAACGAUCUGCACAGUAUGAACAGUGUCAGUAUAAUAAUAACCACUAAAAAAUUCAUGUUCUUUUCCUAGAAAACUAGACUGAAAAAUUGGUCGGACAACAAGCAUAUUAGUUCCACAGUAGGGGCCUCCCAAAAAAAACAAGCAUAUUAGUUACUGCUAAGGUGAUGCAGUUAAAACUAGGUUAAGCUGUUGCUAGUUUCUACUGGAAAGGGGGCUGUGGCCAGAAGAAGCAUAUUAGUUUCAAUGCCUCCUACCUUUGUUGGCACUGGGACAAUCUCAUCCUUAAAUUUUCCAGAAGCCGUGGCUGCAGCAGCUCUCCUAUGAGACUCAGCCUGAUAAAAUAUGAAGCUUUGAUUUCCAUCUUAAUCGAAAGAAAGAAAUGAUAAAAUUAAAACAGUUUGUGCCUAAGGAACUCACAGCAGCCUGAUCUUGCUCUUGCCUGGUGACACCAUAUCGAUGAGCAACAUUUUCAGAAGUAAUUCCCAUGGGCAGAAGACAAUCCUGUGCUUUCUGGAAUGCACUUAUCUGCAGAGAAGAAUGUGUCAUAGAAAUAAAAAGAAUAUCAGUAUCAAUGUACAGUGUGAUUUAUAAUCCAUACCCUGGGGUUUACUUGUCCUUCCCAACCAAUGGAAUUUAUCGACAUGGAUUCCAGACCAGCACCAAUCCCUGUUUGGAGGGAAAACAGUAAUUCAGCACACAAACUAAACCACAGCAGCAAGACUAGCAUGGUAUUCAGCAUGCUGCAAUUACCUAUGUCAUAGAAACCAGCCUUUAUAGCAGCGGCGACAUCAGCUACUGCCUGUAACCCAGAUGAGCAUUGCCGGUUGACAGUUCUAACAGGAACAGUUUCUACAGAAAUAAAAUGGGAUAGUCAAAUUUUGUCCAGAAGAUAGAAUCCUCUUCUUCAAAUGAUAGCACCACGAUUGCUAACAUAGGGGUUUACCAGGGAAUCCAGCAUAGAAAGCAGCCAUCCUGCACUCAUUUGCACGCUGCGAACCUGGACCUAGAACCGUCCCAACCACAAUGUCACCAAUGUCACCAGGAUUGAUUUUAGUGUUGUCCAGAACAGCCUACAGGUGCAAAACGAAAGUAACAGAACAUGAAUAAUGAGCGCGUGAAAACUUUUUGUUUAAGCACACAGCCAACCAAUUGUAACGAAAACUCUUAUGUUUCAGCACAGCCAGCCAGUUGUUGCGAAAACUAGCAGAUUAAUAAUAAGAUAACAGAAGCAAACCUUGAGAACAACGGUAAGGAGGUCCUCUGGGUACGUGUCCUUGAAACCUCCUCGCUUGGCCUUGCAAAUCGGCGUCCGGUAUGCGCUGCAGUGAGACAGCACGGAAGGAAGAGGUAUAGUAUCCAUCAACCGUACAUGUGCAGCAUACUGAUUGAUAUGAAAAGGACCAAAGCAGCAAAGCCUUGCAAUCAAGGUUGCUAACUGUUCUAUUUUGAACAUUUUGGAUUCGUCUUUUUGUGCAUAGUGUUAUCCUUAUCUUACUUAUUCCUGUAAAUUAGUUGACUGAUUACGCAUUCUCGUUGCUAAGUAGCAGUACAAGGUCAGUGACUCAGUGGGGUGGAUGUUCAGUAUCAUCACUGUGUCAUGGCUGUCUAUAUCCACCAUGUAAAUAUACUAAAAAAGAUAGAGUCCAUCGAUACGAUCUGGUGGGGCGCGGUAACAAUUCCAAUUUCUAUCAGUUUAUCUAGGUAGCGCAGGCAGCAUGUUAAAGAGGUUUCCUAAACAACUAAAAUAGGAGCACUCCCUACGAAAGAGUGGGGGGAAGGGGAAAAAAGCGGUAAGAGGAAGGCUUACGCGACGACGACGACAUCGUCUCCGAAGGAGGAGGUCCUCUGGUACGCGGCGCUGUCCCCGGCCGCACACUCCGACGCCUGAACACCGAACGCCCGCCGCCACCGGCACGCAGCAAGAAAUCGAUCAGCCAACCCACACAAGAGAGAUGAACCAGAACCAACCCAACCAGGAGAUCAGGAGCUCACCGCUAGCUGCGGCUGCGAGGAGGGCGAGGAAGAGGAGGGGAGGAGGUGGGCGAGGAGGACCCGCUGCCGAUCGAUCGCCUUCUCCAUGGCCGGCUGGUUUGCUCGGUGCCGCGCGCGCGCGCGUUGGGGUUAUCGGAAGGGAAUUAAUGAGAGGAAGGGGAGGCGGAAGCGAGGUGGUUGCGGAUUUGCUUGGCUUCCUCUUAUGGCGCGGCGCCGGCACGUAGCGAGUCAGGAAAGCACGCAGCCCAAGCAAGAUGGCGACCCGUGUUUAUCCAGCGUACGGCAACGGCAUGGGCACGGAUUGGGAUCAGGAAAUCAGGAUCACACCAGGCCAUGCCCGCCAGAGAAGAUACUUGCGAAGCUUUUGCUUGCACGUUUAUGAUUUCUCUGCCUUUUUGGUCAACUUGUGCAUUAUGCCCAAAAAAUUUGCAUUUCCAUUUUUGCGAAUUUUUUGCAUCUUCUGGGAGUUGCCUCUUAGGACAAAGAAACUGCGUGUUUGUCCUUAAGCCUGAUUUUUUUUAUUGAUCCAUCAGCUCUUUUUUUUUUCAGGUCACUGAUUUGUAACAUUCUAGAUAUUUAGUCGGUGUAACUGUGACCACAAAUUUUUGUUAAUAAGUUAUCUCUAGCUCUGUUUCACAAUGUUAGUCUGGUUCUUAUACUCCCUCCGUAUAGGAAAAGGAAUUCGUUUUGGACAAGGUUUGGGUCAAACAUUGGGAAUAUAAAUCAUGAAUAACUUUUAAGUUGUUGAGUUUGGAAAUAUGAAAGCUAUAUAAAUAGAUUUGUCUUGAAAAAUACUUUCAUAAAAAUAUACAUAUAUCACUUUUUGAUAAAUAUUUUAUAAAAAUAAGGAGUCAAAGUAAUGCUUUGGAGACCGUGUCGCUGUCCAAAACGACUUCCUUUUCCUAUACGGAGGGAGUACUUGAGAGGACCGAUAGCUAAAUAAUUUGUUUAUGAAAUCAUAUCGUUCUUAGUCUCAUUGGAUGAUUAACUAUUGAUCUAUCAAAUCAAUACAAAUUCAACAUAGUUUCAUCGCUGCCUAGCCCGGUGGCCAGGGGAACGGGGAAAGGGUUGAUAUUAUCCUCGUUCUUUGGAAGAUCUGGCUAGAGAAAUCGGAGGGUCUUCCAACAUAAAGAUAAUACGGUUACCCAGAUAACCGACGGCAUCAAGAACCAAGCUGUCGCUGUGGGAGUUAAAUACUUGGAGGACCUUCUCUCAGGAUAGGCAUCCGUUUUGUACUUAGUUGUUAUAGCGGAGUUAUGCCUUCCCGUUUUUGGGAUGCGAGUGUACAGCUUGUAUAGUAUGUUUGUAUACAGUUCGUCAAAUUUUUCCUCUCUUUUAAUAUAGCAGCAGCUCUCCUGCUGGCUCGGUUUUAAAAAAACAUAGUUUCAUUAAAUUUUAAUCAAAUACUAUAACGUCUAGGUAUGCCGACCAGACAAGCAUAGUAAGUUUCGUUACCGUCUUCAUGUUCUCCAGCCGUCACGUCAUUUGUUAGAAAAAGAGAACGGUUCCUGCCGAUUUCUUUUGGGUCUACUUGAAACAUUAUUGGAAAAGGCGGUGCCAUGGCAUGAACCAACGUAUAAUCUUUAUUUGUACCUGGAAAUAGCCGUAUGCCCCCUGAAAUAUGUGGAGGAUAUGCAUGUGUGGACAUUCUAAUGUCCGCAUGGAACGGAACGUGCCGUGACUCAUGAAUUUGUCGGGCUCCACACACCUGGCGUCACCACUGACGCAGGCUUUGGUCGGUCCGGACAAGUGCCCCUAACGGCCUGCCAACUUGUUUUAUUUUGCUCCAUUAUGCAUGUUGGGCUCCGUACCGGCCCACUAUACUGUUGCACGGCCCAUGCAUAUGCCGACUAAGCAGCAAGCCUGUAUUUCCCUUAGCCCGGCAGAGGCCCAUCGAACAUUGAGGGCGCGUUUGGAUGAGUGUGCCUGCGACAGCCAUACCAAAAUUUGGUCGUUUUUUUAAUUAAGGUUGGCUCUUUUAGUUAAGUCACAAUUUCAGAGUACACAAUUUCCUGUAUGCAACCAGGGAUACAAUGUGGAAAGAUCGUAUAAGCACAGAGCUCACCCGAUCGAGCCAGUACAUGAGCCAGCUUAUUAGCACUACGACUUAUAUGAACAAAAGACACAAAAAAAAAUUACAUGUCAGUGGUUUGGUAUCAGCUACUAUCUCUAGCAGGUGCAUUUAUCUUCAAAGUCAAGGUAAGGCAAUCGGAUUGCAAUAUCACAUUGCGGAAACCUUCUUCGAGGGCAAGAACAACAGCACAACGCAGAACAAGAGCCUCUGCAACAUCUGGUGAGGUGAUGCUACUAAAAGACUUACGACAAGCCAUCAGACAAAUACCCAAAUGAUUUCGAAACCAAUGGCCGAACUCGAAGAGGAGGUAAAGAUUGUUGCAUCAACAUUAACACAAACCAAAUCAGGCGGCGGUGGAGCCCACUUCAUGACAUCCUUUGGGGGUGCACACCUAAGUGGCUGAAUCGGUUUCAGACGAUGCAUAACAAUUGUCGUUGGACAAACUUUUGCAGCAGAAUUUCUCACUUCAUUUCGGGCUUCCCAAAUAUGCCAACACACUACAGCAACCACUAUUGCUUGUAUUUCAUUGCAUCUGUCCAGGAGAUCAAACAACCAUUUAUUUGCAUUUAUCAAAUGUUUCCUACCAAGAUCAAUAUCAAACUGAUGUUUCACUCCUUUCGAGAUAGAGGAAGCAAACUGACACAUCGCAAAAAAAAAAAUUAAACUGAAGGCCCGGCCGAGUUUGUAUUAAUUAAUAGAGAAGGUAAUAUAAGACUAUAGUCCGGGGAGGCUAUAGGCAGAAAAAAGAAAAGAAAAAAAAACAAAGAAAGGGUUGCUCAGUUGGAUUGGUACGUCAAUACGGGUAACCAGUCCACUCGCCGCAGCAGCAAAACCGGAGUCUUUAUAAAAUUCGUGGCACCCACCAACAAUCACCCUCAUAUAGUCGUCGAAACCUUCAUGGGUAGCCCUGCAUCGACAGGGAACCUGACGGAAGCAGACUGCACCUAACCGAGGAGGUCACCGCCAUGCGGGACCCUCCACCAAAAUACCGCUGCAGACACUAUACUCCACCUGACAGAGUGAUACCACCGAAUCCGGACCUCUCGCAGGCUGCCUCACAGCGCGCCGGGGUCUAGCCACAUCCGUCGUUGGACUCCAUCUCGCUCUCACCACACACGGGGGCACAUUGCAAAUCAAUGUUCUACUUUUCAGUUUUGCCACAGAAACAACAAUCAGGCAUAACAAAUACAUUGCGCCUCUGCAGCUGGUAACCUGUAGCAAGACAAUCAUGUGCUAUACGCCAAAGUAUAAUUUUCAUUUUACUUGGAACCUUCACAGACCAAAGUUUCUUCCACUGUUUUGCUACACACAUGGAAUCUGACACCGUUCCAGUUCCAGAACGACCUCUUGAUUCAAGGAAGGAUAAGGAACGUGCCAAAUUAUAGGCAGACUUUACUGAAUAAGUACCGCUCUUAGUAUGAGUUCAUGUAGCAAAAUCUUCAAAGUCACUUCUGCCAUUACACAACCCUUUAAUUCAUCUUCCUCCUCUUUUUUCUUCAACAAGCAUGAAAGACCUUCGGUACAUAAGAUAAACUAAUAUGGGCUAAUUGGGUCUCCUUGCCUAAUGCCUCUGGUUGGAACAACCGGGUCAGUAAGUUCUCCAUUUACAUUUACUGCAUAACGAACCUCCGUGACACAUCUCAUGACUAUAUCUAUCCACGAAGGAGCAAUUCUGUAAGCAACCUCGAAGGUAAGGUCACCCCGCUCUGUCAUAAGCCUUCAUCAUAUCAAUUUUUUAUGGCAAAGUAUGGCUUUAUGGUAAAGUAUGGCUACUUAGAGAGUUGUUACCUGAUAGUAUGCAAGCACUCAUACGCAAUUAGAGCAUUGUCAGUGAUAAGCCAUCCCGGAACAAAAUUUGAUCGUUGACCACGUGCAAGGUUCGCGCUUGGAUACCAACCAAUUUUUGGCGUGCUUUGGCCAGCCUUCCCAUCCGUAGUUCAUUUUUGAACCCUGCGUCGGGCCGAUUCCUAGGCAGCUAAAUCGGUCGCCAAUAUUUGGCUGGCCGAUGAGUCUGAUUGGUUGCUUGCCAAAACUUAGGCAUGCAAAACUUGCCAAUAUUUUGGUAAGAUAAAUAGGAGAAGUUGUCAAAUUUUAGUAACAAACCAAACGGUGAUAAAAAAUUUGACUUGCCAAAACUCUAACAUACCAAAAUUUUAGCAACAAACGAAUCAGACUCGAUAUCUUUGUUAGGGCAGACGGCGGCAGCAAACCAAACCUACUUGAAGGACGCGUGCAGGUGGGGAGUAAUUUGUAUGAAACCCAUUCAAUCCUGACGUAUUUUGAAAAAUAUCUGUACACGGACAGCAAAUAACCCCACUACAGAUUACUCGUACUUGAAAGCAGCUAUCACUGGCAUUACCAAUUGCUACAGCACAGCACCAAAACAAAAAUCCGCUGUAGCAGCAAAAAACAUUGCGCGCACCAAAACCAGUGGACGAUCAUCACUACCACUGCUGCCCGCGGCUUCCAUCGAAACCGUGAGCUCGCCGGAGCAAGGAAGUGCAACACUAGUUACCAAAACAAGAGGCCAACCGUACUGGACAAAUUCACAGGCCAUUGGCCACGAAACUGGAGGAAGAAAAAUUCAGCAACUUCGAAUUCAUCAACAGGCCAUUGUACCAAGACGUCAGGUAUCCAGAGGCACUCAGUCACCUUAUCCACUGCCACGUGACCGGGGCCCACGGGAUCUCGGCAGCCAGUCACAGCGCGCCACGUCGGCCGUCCCGUCCCUGUACAAGAACCCAUCAUUGGAGCCUUGGAGGGGAAGCCCAAAUUCCAGCAGGCGGCCCGUCCAAAUUCCACGUCAAUCCACAUCCGAAACGGGGGCAGAUUCAGAGCAACGACAGACUGAAAACCAGCCUCCUUCACCCAAUGCAGCUUUUGCUGGUGUCGCCCUCAGAGUUGGGCACAUAUCCAGAUCCAACUCUUGCUUGUCCCACCGAUAACUUGGUAAUUCAAUUUUAAUUCAGCUCACUGCAAGUCACAGCUGCUCACUCUGGGCAUAUCAGUCACCUUUGGUUACUCCAAGUAUCAACCUGCAGUACCGUAGAUGGUAAUCCUAAUUGAAAAGCAGGGGCAUCCAGUCAAAAGUCCAUCAGUAGUAUCCGUCAGCAGUACCAGUCACUGGUGGAUGGUGGGGCCAGGCCUUCCAUGCAUUCCUAUCCACCUCAGCUCCCUGACUUGUCGUUUUAUAAAUCCCCCCCUCCCCUGCAAGGAUCUGCAGAAGAACAUACAGAAACCAGUGAGCCACCCACCAAAGAGUGAUCGCCAAUAGUUUCCUUCCAUCCAUGGCAUGCAUCAACACCCUCCAGAGUUGCUCCAUUGCCAGAGGGGCAAAAAUCAACACAGGAACUAGGAGAAGUGCUGCAAAGCGAUCACCAACCUUUCAGUGCAGAGCGUCGACUUUCGUUGACGCCAGCGUCCGGCUUGAGCUUGACGAGAACCCUGAGGCGAUCAUCUCAGGCGAGUGGCCUGAGAACUCCUUCCUUCUCAGCUACGAUGAUCUCCGUGCCUACCUUGAGUCACAGGAGGCUGUCCAAGAAGGAGAUCAGGUACUUGAUCUGGAACUCUUAAAGCUGUCAUUGUUAUCUGUCUUGAUCUCCUUCAGCUCUAGCUGAACUCUGAGCGGUGAAUACAGCGCGUGGCUCUCUUGAGUGAGACCAUGUCAACACCUGUGCUAGUGGCCACAGCAGAGCAGACACUAGAGGAGGUCGAAUGCCACUUUGAGGCCGUGUCAGGGCUUCCAGUCGUAGACAGCAGCCUCAGAUGUGUUGGGGUAGUCGUCAAGAAUGACCGGGCCAAAGCUUCCCAUGGGGUCAGCUCUCCCUUCCCCUCUUUCUCACUCUCUCUCACACAACUUGGGCGCGAGCACACACAUAACAAGUUGCUAGUUUCAUACAAGAGCGAAGGAGAAAAUCCAUUCUGUCUACUGAUCUAUUGCUGCUUGUAACAGCCAAAAACAAAGAUUGAAGAAGUAAUGACCUCUCCAGCCAUCACACUAGCAUCAGAUAAAACAGUGAUGGGUAAUUGUUGUUUUCAUAUCACCUUUUUCUUUCCACGUAUGCUUUAAGUUAGAUCUAAGAGUACAUGUGUAACAUCUACAGAUGCUGCGGUUCUGAUGCUCAAGAAGAAGAUCCACAGAGUACCAAUUGUAAAUCAGGAUGAACAAGUAAUAGGUGAGUUUCAGAAUGGCGAACAGUUAAGAGACAAAAGGACUGCAUGUAUGCAUACUUGAUUUGUAUUAUCCUUAACAUUGGUAACUUUGCAAGCUUAAUGGGUUCGACACACUAUCAACAGGUAUAAUUACCCGUGCUGAUGUUCUUCGCGAGUUGGAAGGCCUGCUGAAGAUUUAGAAGGGCAGCAGUCCAUGCUCGGUUCUUGUAAAUAUGUCCAUGGUGCUUUUGAGUGGCAGCAAGCAGAUCUACAAUCAGUAGGAGUGCGCUCCAGAAUCGGCAGAAAUAAGCCCGGAAGAGUUUGAGAUCUUUUCCUUGUAAAAGUACCACACCAGGAAACUUACUCUCUGUGUUGCACUGCUUGCGCUACCAAAUGUUGCAAACUAGUCAAAUAUUUCCAGAGCAAUAUAAAUAGAUAUGCUUAAAAUAAUCUUUCAGUAGAAAUAUGCCAACGAUGGAAGAGAAGUGAGAAAAAUGUGAGUUAAUGCACAUGCCAAGUCAAAAAUACUUCAGAGAAAUAAGUAACUGAAUCUGAGGAGGAUUAAAAGAACAUACUCAUUCUGUAUGCCAGUCCAGUUUGAAACUGCAUAAAUCAGGAGAGUUCCCUUUGAUCUUCUCCGGAAGCAACAGCAGCAGCACUAACAACCAUUGGAGUAGAACGUGUGGGUUUUUGUGAAUCAGAAACAACUUUCAUCUCCAGGUUUGGAAUUACUGGUGGCUUUGUCCUCCGAGUAACAGUCAUUUUCAACCCCUCAGUUGUGUGAAUUGUUGCUCCAGUUGUCAUGUCAACCUAUCAUAUUGAUCAUAAAUAAUGGAUACAGUAUUAACUAUAACGAAUCAGAAACUGGUAGAGGCAUACCGGAGGUGCUCCUGGAGCCAUCUGAAAGUCAAAUCGCUUGACAAGCAUUGCUGUUGCCACCACAUUCUGCAAUGACCCAGUAUGCCUAUGUUAUUUUGAGUUCAAUGUCGUGCAAGCUCUACUGUGAUCAUUCUGUUGCUAAUAUAAUGAAAUGAGAUAUUGGGCUUGAAAAAGCUUGAAAUAAAGAAAGAAACCAGGUAUGAAAAUCUAAAAAAAGUUACCUCAAAAGUGGCAAACAUGUCACCAGCACAUUUCCUUGGUCCACCACCAAAUGGUAAGUAACUGAAAAUCCAAGAGAUUGCGUGAAUCCCACAGUGAUUAAACCAAUCCUCAGGCAUUAAUCAACAUGGUGGUAGGCAACAGGUAUAAUCAGCCACUAAAAGGAAAUAUACGCUCUUAAAAGGAAAUUUAAGUAUUCCCACCCUGUUGCCCUAAGCUAAUAAAAUAGUGACACAGAAUCUCAAUCAACAGGCCAUUGUACGUGCUUUCACGCCCAUCGUGUAGUGGUUGCUCUUGCAACGAUAGGUUCAGAUCAACUCGGUCCAUGCACUUGGUUAGCACUGUCGUUUCGUGCUGUCGCAGAACAGAAUCGAUGUGCGGGUGGAAGGUUUAAACUGCUUGCCUGAAGCGAAUGAGUCACAUCCUGGUUUGCCUGUCAUUUCCGAUUAUCUCAUGAAAUUGAGUCACAUCCUGGUUUGCCUGUCAUUUCCGAUUAUCUCAUGAAAUUGCUCUAUCUCUGUCCCAUUUGUUCUACUACCAUUGAAUCGUUGUGUUCUGGUCACCAUCGCUGUUGAUCUGCUUGCGUUACGUGAUGAUUAUUUAUUCCCAAAACGCAUGGCAUGUGUUUUCCAGUUCCAUACCGUUGCUUGUAGAUCAUUGCUGAACUUGUGUUUUCCAGUUCUGCACCUCUGCUUGUAUGAAGUUGCAGUGAAUAUUUUGAACUUCCUGCAUGAAGUGAGUGGGUGGGAUGACUUAUUCUGAUGUGCUUGUGCCUUCUGGUUUAACUCAUGAAUUAUUCCAUUUAUGUCCAACGAGUUGUAUUCUGGAAUUGAACAAGGUGUUCUAGCCAGUACUCUUGCUCUGCUUUCAUGAAGCUAAUAUAAAAUACUGAAAUGCAUGCCUUGUGGGUUCAAAUCUUACCCACUUGGUUGUACGAUGUAGCAUGACUGCAUGAUCACUCUUAUCUCUAUGGUGAUCUGUUGUGCAUGGACAUUCUGUCCUAAAUUGAAUGUUGUGUUUGUUCUCAGUUGAAUAAUAGGAAGGUUGAUCGAUGCCUGUCUCUAGCAUUCUGGUACCAACUUGGGAGUGUAAAAGAAAAGGUUCUCUCUAAUUUUUUGCAACUAAAGUUUCUGUGGAACUAAAUCUUACCUUAAUUAUAACCAUGUAAUGGAUAUGAUCUUAUCUUGCUCUUAAGUUUGAGUAUAAUUCAGCUUCAGACUGCUUUGGCUUCCAGAUUUAAAUGAACAAGGGAAUAGCAGUUCAUUCUCUGAAUAAGUUCUGCGUGUUUCAGUGCAUGAGUUGGCAACAAGUCACGAUACUACAUAAAUUGCUCCAUUGUGCUGUUUAGCAUAAUUUUGUCAUAGUAAGAUGGGUAACUGGAUACAACAAUUCCAUGCAGAAGGACACAACUAAUUCAGUCUUCUCUUUCUUCUAUGUUUUGGAUACAGAAACAUACAGUUUCUUCUCCUAUUUUCCACCCUUUUGAAUUCAUAUAUUGUAUGACUGAUAUUUGCAGUGAGCAAAUCGUCAUCUCUUUUUUUCUAGAAUACGCAGGAGAACUGCGUAUCAUUCCAUUAAGAAGAGAAUGAAAACGUUUUUUUACAACGCGGGCCAACCGGGCGCACGCACACGGGUACAAAAUUCAAGACUCCCGUUACAUGUUAUUACAAGAGCACCCUAGGAAAGAAAAUCCUGGAGAAUAGUCUCCUAGCUAGUAGUAGCUACAUGCUACCCGAGAGCUGUGAGGCAACGCGCCCCUGCUGCACACCAGAGAAGGGCUUCUUCAGUUAUCGCCCUGGUUAGUUGCGUUGGGGUUUUUUCCGUCGCCCUAGCGAAGACUCGAUCGUUCCUUUCCUUCCAAAUCUUCCAAGAGACCAACAUGAAAGUUGAAUCAAGGCCUCUUGUCCUGAUGGUGUUGAGUCUGCUUCGCUUCUGUAUCCACCAUUCCAUCAGAGAGUCAUUCAGGGCCGGUGGGACGUUCUGAAUGCCUAUUAUUUAGCUGACGGCCAACCACACCUGUUGAGUGUAGGUGCAUCGUGCAAGGAGGUGGUCUGCCGUUUCAGGCUCCUGUCCACAGAGUGCACAAUCGUCGCUAUUCUGGAGCAAAUCGUCAUCUCGAAAGAUAAACAUUACAUAAGCAGUGGCAAAACCUACAUGCUAGGAGGAAGUGUAUUGGUAUCACAUGAGAACUGAGUGAUUACUGUUUUUGGAUAAAUAAUACUGCCUGCGGUCAUUAAAACUUGUGAUUCGAAGACAUUGCUGCGCCAACAUCUCGCUGGAUGCGCCUAUCUAGCGGUUCAGUUCUACUGCCUCCUUUCUGACUAAUGUCCUAGUGGUUGCUUCGUACUCGCAUUAUCUCGGAUCGAUAGGUUCAGAUGGACUCUACAAAGCCUUUUCAUUUCCUCCUGUCGAAGAACAGAAUCGAAUGUGUGGUGGAAGUUUUGACUUGCCUGCUAUUUCUGAUCAGUCUCUCUGUUGGCUAUUGCAUAUGUUCUAGUACUGUCUUGAUCAAAAGUGUCUACUAUUUAGUCUAGCUCUCUUAUCUGCUUGCAUGAGCUGAGUGCUUGUCACAUAUGCUCAGUACAUGCAAGUGGUGGUAGCAUGAUUACCACCAUUUGUAAUCAUGUACUGAGCAUAUGUGACAGUUGUGUCAACUCAACGGCUUGACUGCUAUCACCUGGAUUCCUCAGGACAUGGUUUGGCAUGGCCUCUGUCCCUCGUCAGAGUAAGUUCACAGAAUGGCAUGCAGGCAAUUGCUAUAAUAAACGUGUUAAGAUUUGUCAUCAAAAGUUAGAUCAGGGCAAGAAAAUGAUGCGAACUGAACCCUUGCCUCCCACCGUUGGGUGUUGGCCGAAAAAAUAGGAGACAGUGUCACAAAACAAUGCAAAAAAUAACACAAUGUCAUUACAGAAUAACUUCCCAUGACAUUCACUGCAGAACUCCUAUAACAAGUUACCUUGCCUUGCUAUGACAAAUUAUGCUCAAAACAGCACAAAUGUUUACCAACACACAUGUUUCAGGUCAGCACCAUUUUUGCCAGCUCAUGUACUGAAGAACGCAGAACACAUUCUGGAACUGAACUUGCUAUUCCUCUGUCAAAGUUCAUACAUGAAACCAAGCAACAAGCAUAGUCGGAGUAUACUCUAGCAUAUGAUAAAUAAAAUUUGCAUCCUGGUGAGAAGUAAGAUUUAAGAGUUUGUUACAACCAUAUCUUUUGGAGAAAGCUAAGACGACGUGCCGGACACAUGCCACAAUCAGUACCAGAAUUUUUCAGAGACAAACACGUGGCAACCGUUCAAUGAGUGCAUCCAACUUAGAAUAAAAUGUUCACUUCAUCUUCAUGCAAGCCGACCAAUGCAGAGAUAUAGUAAGAUGUAAGCAUGCAACCAGCCUACACAAAUUGAAUUGCACUGAACAUUCAUGACAUAUUUUUUUUCGAGAACGUGCAACGCACGUAUUUCAUUAAGAGAAGGGGAAGCGACCCAAAACGAAACACAGUACCGAAUUACAGCGAGCUGGCUAUCACCUGGGCACAAGUUUGCGACCCCACCAGCAUGCAAGAAAGAAAGAGCUAAAGAAAAAGAGUACAAGGGCGAGCAGCACCCCAUCAAAGUUCAGUCUACGUUCAUUAGCCAUUGUGAACAUUUGCGACUAGUCCGGCGUUGCACCACCAUCCCAGUUCUUCACGGAUCCUGUCAGCCAGCUGCAACGGCUGCCUUGUGGUUGUUCUGAAGAUCCUGUCAUUCAUUUCAUUCCAAAGUCGCCAGGAUGUCAGCGCGAAGAGAGAAUCCAACCUUCUUCUAGACGAUUUGUCAAUACGUUUCCUUGCCGACAGCCACCAAACAAUGGUGGUGGAUUGGGCUUCUGGGGUGAACACCUGCCAUCCCAACAUUCAUGACAUACAUUUCAGAAUAAUUAUAUAUGCAGCCCACGCGAGCAGAUCAUCACUACUUGCCAGAACACCUUGAUCAAGUGUAGUAGAAGACUUCAUCCAGGACAAAAAAAAGAGAGAAAGGGGUCGGUAAUGCAUAUAACGGAAUACUGCAGCACAAGUAUAAUCUUAUGGCAGGUUGCAAUCAGUGUCAAGUGUCAACCCACAUGAUGACUAUAUAUGUAUACAAGAAAACAGAACAAACAGAGAAGUUCUCAUGCCAUGCUGCAUUUGUGUUGAAUUUCUUUACCUAGCUGCCCCUCAUAUUAAAAUACAAUGAUCAAUUUGUGCUUAAGGCAGCAAUGCAACAUACGUAUUCCAAGUUGACACAAGUUUUGGUUUGCUCUCCAUUCAUCUUCUGGAGAAUACAGAACAUAUUCUGGGUUUGGAAUGCUUUCCCCCAAGUUCAAUUAAUAACUGAAGCAAGUUUGCACGACUUGUGCUAAAAAAUAAUGACAAGACUAGAUCCUUAUCCAUUACACCCCUGCUGAUGAUUAAGAGCUUAGUUGCUACAGAACCAGUUAAGAGAGAAGCAAGGCUUGCUUGUAUGAUAGACAUGGCAAAACCAUCACCACAAUACUCCUAUUGUUAACUGGAACUGAACUAUCACAGCCUGCAACUUAAAUCAACUUAGAUCUGAACAGGAGCACCAAGUUCAUGAUAAAAGUGUUCAGUGCAACAUCAUAUAAGCAGAACUGCAGAGAUUGAGCAAUCAUGCUGCAUUGCUGCAACCAAUCGCACAAAAAUAAUCAACUGAACAACAUGUCAUUCAUUUUGGGAGUGGAAAACACUUCAUGCAAGCGGAUCAAGAGUGCUAGCUAGUUGUGCAUGGACAUUCUGUCCUAAAUUCCAAUGCAAAACGGCAUUCGAGAUUGAAAAUCAAUGACUAAAAAAGAAGCAGGGUUUUUUUUUUACCUCCAUCGUGCAGAGGCAUUUGAAAUUCGAAAACUAAAAACUUUUUUGCCACAAUCGUAUAGAGGCAUUCCAAAUGGAGGAGGGAAAAGGCGUAAAGCCAAACAACCAGACCAUUUCACCUAUACUACUCGACUAUAAAAUAAUAGCCUCCCCACCCACCUAGCCCAUCCUCAUCUAGUCAUCUGAGUUUCUGACGCUUGCGCUUCCUUUGCUAGUAGUAGCAGCGAGUUGCCACAGCCCACAGCCGAGAGCCAACAAUGAAUCAAGCGCAGAUUGCCGCCACCAUCGCCCUCGCCGCCGGUGCCGGAACUGCAGAUGUCGAGGCUGCCGCCGUCGCUGCUGGAACCGCAGACGCUGCCGUCGUCACCCAAGCUCUUACCACCGCACGAACUUUAGCUGCUAAGCAACUUGGUAAGCUGUUGGUUCCUUCCUGAAAUGAGAUCCUGAUUUGGUUGCUCGUUCUUUCUGUUGUUCCUCUUGAUUCGGGUUUUUUUUUGCUUCUGAUCUGUUGUUCCUCUUGUUUGGGGUUUAACUACUUGUCGUUCUUUCAAAGUUCUUGACUUGGUGGGGUUUUCUUCAAAACGGUCCUGAAUCCAUUGUUUUUUGGUGAAGUUUUGUUCUUUUCUAGACCAAGUCUGUCCUCAAUCCUCUUCAGGUCGUGCUCAUGCUCAUGCUAUACCCAUGUGUGAUCGCCUUCACCUUAGCUACCCGCUACACAAAGUAUGGUCUGCUCAUACCUACCCCCAACAUGCCCGGCGCCGCCCCUCCCUCCCUUGAGCUUGCCUGUUCCCGGCAGAACUAGUGGCUGACCACUUCCCAGGAAGCCCUCUGGUUUCACCGGAAUCUUUUUCAACACCGUCACCAUGAUUCACAUCUUCUUGGUGAUUUACAUAACCCUCAAAGGCCCUCGCGAGUCGCCUAGGAUGUCGCACGCCUUCGCUUGGUUUGCCAUCAAGGAUGUCGCACACCUUCGCUUGGUUUGCCCUGAUGUCAUUCUGGUUUUGUAUCGGUGUUUACUUCUUCAUGUUCACAAUCUUAGCAAGAUGAGUUGCUGUUGCAUAUACUUUUCUCUCCAUUUUCUUGUUUUUUUAUUAGGGGUCUUUGUUUUCUCGUUAGUUUACUACUAGUGAAUAAUGAUUUGUCUAUGUAGAUAUGGAGUCGCCUGGCAGGAGUGAGUGCUUUUCGCAGCAUUCACAUUGGGGCUGUUUUUUGCCACUACAACUUUCAUCUGUGUAAGUUAUUCUUUCGUAAAAAUGUUCUCAUAUUGUGAUGAAAUUGGUUGUCAUUACCGCCUUCUCACUUCCGGAUGGUAGAACCAACCUACGAUGAAGUCCAAACUCUUAUGAUCCCGGGUGAUAGAUCCAACCUUCGAUGGAUCACAACUUAUGCACUAAGUACUUAGAAACUAUAUGGCCCAACCGGAAGACUAACACUUAUAAGAAAUAGAACUUUAUUACAACACAACAAUAUUAUACAAGAGUGCACAACACCCUCUCUUUAGUGGCUAGCCUAACAUUCAUCCUUUACUUCUACCAUACUCCACUCAUCUACCAUGCUCAUGGUUGAAUGGCAUGGUAAGGAAAGGGAUCUCUAUUUAUAGGCCAAGGGAGUUCAUAGGAUGAUGACAUGUGCCUCCUUCUAGAGUUUUCACUAGAAAAAUAUCUAUAUUCUACGCUAUUCUAAUUUCUUCAUGGCAACAACAUCUAGUGGCUUCAUGAAAAAUAUCAUGGAUCAUGAGUUGUGGGGAAGACUCUAGAAGUUUGUAUUGCUUUCCUUCAACACACCCUUUUAAAUUCAUAUAUUGUAUGACUGAUACUUGCGGUGACUGUUGGGGCUAUUUUUUGCCACUGCAAUUUUCAUAAGUUAUUCUUUCACAAAAAUGUUCUCAUAUUUCUAUGAAAUUGGUUGUUAUUACCGUCUAAUUGUCGAUUUUGGUUGAUUUCCAGGCGGCCAUUUCGCUAGCGAAGGUGGUACUUCCCGCUCCUCCUGCUUUAGUGCUCGUGGAAGGAGAAGGCCAGGCGGACUAGGCAGGAAGGUGAAGGGUGAAUAUAUGGAGCCAUGAUACUUCUGUAGUAGCUGUAGUUCCUCAGUGUUAUUGGUGAACAAGAAGGUGAAUGACAUUCUGAAUAUGUAGCAGUAGUAGAGUUGGUUGAUGUUCUUUCGAGAGUAGCAGUGGUAGAGUUGGUUCUGAAUAAGUAGCAGUAGUACUCAGAUGUAGCAGUGGAACGGUGAGGAGCAAACAAUUAAGAUUCAUACUCUGUCUCUACUUGAGUGUUUUUUGAGUAGAUCAUGCCAGUCUCUUUUUUUUUCCAAUUGUAUUUUAGUGCAUUCCAUAGUUCCAUCUGGUCUAAUGGUUCCAGUGCUUGCGUCAUAAACGGCUUGCCAUCGAACUUGACAUGACAAUAAAUAUUUACAAACACAACUCGUAUCGGAGUUGGUUAUCAUAUCCCACGGGCCAACCUUCUUCUUUAGCUAAUCUUUUCUCCAGCCCACUUUAGACCCAUACUGGUCAAGCCGCUCCAGCUCCCAAUCGGCCAAUCCUUGCUGACUCCUUUUGCCAAUCGGCCAAAACACUAUAGCUUCAAUCGGCUGAUUCCCAACUGUAGCUUUUAGCUUGCCGCAUCGGCCAAUCUUUUCCUUCCUUGACGCCGAUUCAAAAUAUGUGUCAAAAUCCGGCGUCAACAGAUGCAUUCAUACAAAUAUCCUAUACUUUUAGUCUACAGUAAUGCACUACAUAAUAUAAUGGUUUGUGCGUGCGAAAGAUUCGGUGAAGCUAAAUUUUAUAAUGCAUAAGCCUACUACUAUGUUGCUCUUAUCUCUCAGUAUAACUCAAAUACAGACUAUGCAUGGUUUGCAGUUUGAAAUGAACUGGGCAGUAAACAUUUCAAUCCCUGAAUAUGCUCUGCAUAUUUUUUUUAGAUGAUGAUGUUCUGCAUCUUUCAUUACAUGAGUCGGAAACAAGUCAUGAUAUUAAAAAAAUGUGUUGCAUUCUACUAUUUUAACAAAGCUUUUGUCAUGGUAAGGUGGUUAACUGGUUACAAAAUUUCAUGCAGAAUGACAUGGCAACUGAUUUUGUUCCUUCUGAGUUUUGGAUUAAGAGACAUACAGUAUAAUUCUCCUAUCCUUUUCUCCUUUAAUUUCAUAUGGUGUGAAUGUGACAUGUGCUUUGAGUAAAUCGUAAUCUCGAAUGCUAAAACACUAUAAGUAUAUAAACAAUCACAUAGCAUACAUGAUACUAGUGAUAAUAUUGCAUUUUUCUUGGGAGGAAGUCUACUAGUACGAUUGAGAACUGACUCUGUUGAAUGGGUGUUCGCAUCAUGUGGGUGUGACACAGUCACUGCGAAAUACUAUGAGAUUAAACCUGCGUUGCCUGCAUUAAUUUUUAGCAUAAUUACAUUAGAUGAACUCUGGACGGAAUGUAUAAGGAUCCUAUCUUGUCACUUCAGUUUCAUGGAUGAAUUGAACAGAGGAUUUGAGUGUUGGGUCCCGGAGUGCGCUCGGAGAUGAUGAGUUUUAGAAACAUGGUGCUACCCUGGAACUUAUGUGUUGGACUUGUAAGUGUUGCAUUGCGUUAUUUUGAGCGUAAUUUUUGUGAUAGCAAGACGAGUAACUUGUUAUAGAAAUUCUACGGUGAAAGGCAUGAGAAAUUGCUCUGUUUCUAAACCAUGCAGUGUGUGACUGCUCUGCGGUAUGAGAAAUUGCAAAAAUGGGCCGAGAGAAGCCCAUCAGCGGCCCCAGAAAUGAAGCUCAUUUGAGUUGGGCCCACUGUUCGGAGCGAAAAAGCAAAUCCGUUCGGGAAAUGGGAUUGGCUGGUGCCAGCCAGGCAGCCAGGCCUCGUCUCGCUCCGACCCGAAGCCGUGAAGCGCGGCUGCGCGGGUUAGUAUAAAGUGGCGCCACCGCUGGCCCCGGCUCGAUCAUUCCCGUCGUGCACACCCAACCCCACCCACCCACGGCGAAGGCGCCUAGCGAAUCGAGGGUUUCGUCGUCGAGCGAGCGAGAGCGCGCGAUGGCGGCGGCGGAGGGAGAGAAGAAGGGAGCGAUGGAGGCGGAGAAGGGAGAGAAGGAAGCGAUGGCGGCGGCGAAGGGAGCGCCGGUGGAGGAGAAGGGAAAGGGAGCGGAGGCGCCCGAGGAGGAGGGGACGGGAGAGGCGGCGGUGGAGAAGGGGAAGGCAGUGGCGGAAGCGGAGGAGGCGGCCGGCGCGAAGAUGAUCACCCUGCGGAGCGCGGACGGGGAGGAGCGUUCCAUGUCGGCGGCGGCGGCGAAGCUGUCAGUGGUCCUCAGCAACAUGAUCGAGGACGACUGCGCGUACAACGUCGUCAUCCCGCUCGAACGCUCCGCCACCGUCGCGAGGACUCUGGACACGGUGAUCGAGUACUGCGUCAAGCACGCCGACGAGCCCGUCCACGACUCCAACCCCAGCACCGCGGGCGGCAGCAGCAGCGUCGUCGUCACAGCGGUGCCCGAGGACCUGGAGGAGUGGGACCGCAAGCUCGUCGAGGGCCUCAGCGCGGACGACCUGUACGACCUCCUCCUCGCCGCCAACCACCUCAGCAUCCAGGGGCUCAUCGACGUCGUCUGCCAGAGGGCCGCCGACAUGAUCAAGGGCAAGACCACCCAGCAGAUCCGCGACACCUUCAACCUCCCCAACGACCUCACCCCGGCGGACGAGGCGAAGUUGCGCCAGCAGCGCGCCUGGGUCAUCGACUAGUAGGAUUCUUCGAACCCACUUUGUGCUCUGCUCUAGCAUCUCCCUAGAUCUGCCGGCCUAGCGUGCGGCUUCGUGUUCUACCGCGUCUUUUCUCUUGACGCGCAUCGUAGUGACUGUUUCGUGGUUAUCUUUGUGUAGAACUGUAGAUAGGUCCUGAUCAACACUCGGUCUACCACUUGCUUAGUAUUUUCGUUUCGCCUUGUCGAAGAACAGAAUGGAACGUGUGGUGGAAAUUUGAACUGCUUGCCUGAAGGAUGAAGUGAAUGAAUAUCCUAUCCCGAUUUACCUGUCAUUUUUCGAUUAAUAUCAUGAAAUUGCUAUUAGUUUCUGCCCUGAAUGUGUUCUACCACCAUCGAUCGAUUGUGUUCUACCUAUUGCUACUGAUCUUCUUGCAUGAUUGACAUGAUUCUUUUGUUGCCGAAAUGCAUGACAUGUUUUGUUCAGUUCCGUACAAUUGGAAGCAGUAUGAUAGCUCAUCCUCUGCAGUUCUGCUUUUUAUUUAGUUGUAGUGAAUAUUUUGAACUGCCUGCAUGAACUGACUGAACCAUAUUCCGUGACUUUCUCUAUGUCUGACCAAUCUGUUCGACUAUUCUUGAGUCUUGAUCGAUUUGCUUGCAUGAAUAUAUAAAAUCCUGAAAUGUGUGCAAUUGGUGGUAGACUGGUAGCAUGGCUGGUGGCUCUGCAACUGGUGCCCCAUCUCUGUAGUGAUCUGCUUGCAUGAAGAUGGAGCAAGUAUUUUACCCUGAAGUUGAUUUUGUUUUUGUCUGAUAACAUUCAGUUCAACAAUAGGAAGGUUGGUCUGUAUCUCUGUCCCUGAUAUUCUGGUACUGAUCUGGCAUGUGGGCCAUACAAGCGUGUAUUGGUUCUCUACAAUAGAUUUGAAUGCAACUAACUCUUAGCACUUGAUUACACCACGUCAUGGAUAACAAUCUUGUCUUGUUCUUAUGUUUAAGUGUAAUUCAAGUUCAGACUAUGCCUGGUUUCUGAGUAUGAAUUGAACUGGGGAAUAGCAUUCCAAUCCCUGAAUGUGUUCUGAAUCUUUCAGUACAUGAGUUGGCAACAGAUCAUAAUAUUGGAAAGUAGUGUGUGUUCCAUUGUGCUGUUUUGGCAUAAUAUUGCCAUGGUGAGGCCGGGAGGUGGAGUAGUUGGCUACAGAAAUUCCUUACAGAAUGACAUGAGAACAGAUAACUGAUUCUGUGUCUUCUCCGUUGUGGAUACUGAACAUGCAGUUUCUUAUUUCUUUCUCGGUUUUUUCCCCAUCAUCUGGUGUGAAUACACAGCUCCUUGCAGCCUGCAGGAUACUAGUGAUAGCUUUCCUAGAGAGGCAGAGCUGAUAGUGCAGAGUUGACAUGGGCUAGCGAAGUCGAGAGAGAGUGCCUAACAAGGCCUGAAAAUGAACAGCCGGCAAGGCAAGGCACAAGCACGAGCGAAGAGGAACAGCAACAGCCUCUCCCAAUUCAAGUCUCACUGAAUUAUGGCACAAUUCGAUGCACAUCACGAGAUUCACAGCAAUCCACAAACGAAAUAAUCAAAUCAUCCAACAAAUCUUCAGAGGUAGUAGUAAGAGAGCAGAGGCGCGGCCACAGCGGCUACGACGGCGAACGCUGAGACCGGCGAUCGGGCUGCCGCCGACUUCGAUGCGCCUGGGCUGCUGGCGGCAGGUGCCGAUCCAGAAGCAGGUGCAGGACCUUCAACAUGGAAGCAGAGCAGUGAGACGACGAAAGAUAAGCGAAUCACACGCACAGCUUAAAGGACAAAAGGUAAUGCAUACAAGACCCAAGUUUUUCUUCAGUUCAGAACUUGUUUCAGGCGCUAAUUUCAGAUAGCAUUCCGAAUUUGGGGAUGGAAUUUUCAGUGCACAACUGAUGACUCUCCACAUCAUUUACUGAGAUCUAAUAGGCAUGCCAGUUAAGAUGGACCUGAUGGAUACAAAAUUGGCUGACACCUGGCCCAUCUCACUCUCUCCCACACCUAUAUUUUAUUUUGGCCUAGAGACGUUAGUAAUUCAGAUUACGCGUGAGUGUCCUAUUAAUUAAGAUUUUCACUUGCAGAUGACUGUCAGCGUGCCAAGACGAAAACGCAGAGCGUUCAGGCUUCAAAAAUCUGUCUGAUCUAUCAUUGUUCAUGUUUUUUUAGAAGUUGGGACCAUUUUGCUGCCAAGAAAGCUACCACUACUGUCACCAUCUAGGCACAAUUCAGCCCUAUUUUAGGCCUAAAUUUUAACAUAUGAUUAUCCCGAUCUUUGGUGUAUAACUCUGUACUGAUAUCAAUGAACCGAAAAUUGGUAACGUAGACAGGCUAAAAAAAAAAUCAAAAUGGACGCAUCAUUUUGCAAAAACUGAAAAAUUAAAAAAAGAACAGAGUAGUAUCUGUUACCUUCAGUAGGGGCGCCGGGCACUUUGACUGCAAGAAAAUAAUAAUAAAAAUUAAACCAAAAAGCUAAGAUCUGGAAAACUAAUAAAAACCAAAAUACAAUACGCAGAGUUUCACUCAUCACAAAUUAACAUACGAAAAACAAAACUAAAACGAUUUGGCCUACACAUCUUUCUUUUGAAAAAAAUGGGCUCUUGUCUCAAGGGGGGGAAAAAGAAUAAGACGAGAUCGGGUUGUGUUAGCGCUUACUGUUGCACUUGCUGAAGGCGGCCUGGUCCUCGCCGCACGCGGCGGGCAGCGUGGCGGCGCGGGUCAUGUUGAUCGCGACGGGGUACUUCUGUUGGAAUGCGGCGCAGAGGCAGGCGACGGUGGCCGGGCUCUUGAGGGCGCCCUUGACGCCGGCGCAGCACUCCAUGGCCGGCUUGCCCUGCGAGCUCCCCUGCUGCACGUACGAGAGGCACGGGAGGAGCCCCGUCACCGCCGCCCCGCAGUCCACCGAUGACGACGGGGCCGGCGCCGGCGCCUGCGACGCCGCGCCGGACGCCAGCGCGAGGACGGCCACCGCCGCGAGCAGGCCGAGGCCGAGGCGCGCCAUGUGGUUGGUUCCUUGGUUGGUGUCGCAACUAGCGGCCGCGCGAGGAGAGGGGAGGCUGGCGCUGGCUGUGGGCUAGGGAAGUGGGAGGGAGGGAGGGGCGAUAAGCGCAUAAAUUAUCGUGCAGUUCAUUCCUAACGCAUGCUGCCAUUUGUUUGGUUAUCUUGUACAGUAGGAUCAAUCAAAUGCUAGCUGUGAGAUCUCUCUCCAGCUAGCUAAGCUAAGAUCGCUUAAUCAAAUGCAGUUCAUUCCUCUCUCUCUCUAUCUCUGCGAACUGUAUCCAUAAAACUAUUCAGUGGUCAAUGCGCCACAAGCUAGUACAAUUAGAUAUAAUAGUCCUACGAAAUAGCUUGCUGAAGGCUGGAGCUGUAUAACAGUUUGUCUUGUCAGCUGGUCGAGUUGCCAUCGGAGACCAAUCUCGUAAAUAAACACAUAACAAGUAUGCAUGUGUAGAGAGAACUGGAUGCACGUCUACCAUUUUUUCUAUGUACACCUGUUGCGAAGCUGUGUCCUGAUGGAUUCAAACGCUCUGUACGUCUACAGUUGACAUGCAUGCCUUAGGUAAUCCCAAUGCGACAUUGAUGAUAGUUUCUAUGUCUAUUAAUUACCAUGACAACUCAGCUUUUUACUUAUGUGGCAAUGAAGUUAAUGUAGAGAGAGAACACACAACUAAGAAAUGGUUUCCUUCUCAGGAAACUAAGUCUUCACGGGAAUCAACGCACCAAGAAACUAGAGAAAUGGCAUUGGGGAGAAAUCACCGGUUUCCAACGGCCUCCUCUGGAUCUAGUGCGCUUGGAACAAGGAGUCCACCAGGCACCAAGCCUCCUUUACGUGCAUAGAGGAUCUGGUGCUAGAAAAGAGAAUGGUUGGUUGGAUUUUUGUUUAGACUCUAGAUAAAAAAGUUGCAUUGUGAAGGAUGAUUUCUUAAUACAAUAUCCUAGACUAUGAAAACUACGAUGAUUUCUCUCAUUGAAACUGCCCUUAUCUGUACAGGGCCACACGGCCACACCAAAGUAUCACGCAUAGAACAAUUUCCAACGGUAUCUAUUUUCUCACUGCAAGCUCAGUCUGGAAAACGGUAGGGGAGAAAACCAAUUUGUGCGAAGUUACGCGCUUGCACAUGCAGACCGCGCUUAGAAGAAAAACGUUGAGUUAAAUUUAAAGGAAAACAGUACAAUAUUUCAUUCAAAUUUCCCGUUUACCAGGUUUAUUUUUUAUUUUUUAAUAUAUUUUGGGGGAACAAAAAAAGUAAACGCAUAAAAAAUGAUUUUUACCCUCUUCGAUCAUUUUGGAGUUUUCGUAUAAUUCAUUAAUAAUUACUAACAAUAAAAAUUCAAUUUCAUUUCCUACAUAGCCCAACGACCUACAAGGUCCAAAAAGGCACAGGCCCAAACUAGCUAGCCUGAUUGCAUGCCCUUUGUUUGUCAAUGUAAAGUCACAUUUUUGUUUGAAAACAAAUUUUGAUCAAUAGAUAGUCAAAUCGUAUGCGUCUUCAUUCUUCACUCCCUUCAGUGUACAAAAGUUGCACAAAUUGAUUAUUAUUCGAACUAAAAUGCUAAGAUGAUGUUGAUUUUGUAAAAGUUGACUUUGUAGUUAUGCUAGGCAGAAGGCAUGAAAUAAAAAACCAUGCAUAUUUGGGAAAUUUGCGUCAGAAAAGGCAGUUAACCGAACCAAAUGGAAACGUUGCUUUGUGUCAAUAUCAAGACAAAUUAUCUCUACUGCCAAAUUUCCUAAUAAGCUUGUUUCCUGAUCUCCAAGAUGGAACUCCAACGAUUAAGAUAUAUUCCAACUAGUUAAACGUUUCACUGUUCAAUCAUUAGAGUAUGCUAUAUAUAAUCGUACAUGCUACCUAGUCAAACAGCCGGCCGGAUGACCGGCUCGCUAGCUAUCUGCCGGCCAUGCUCUAGACGCGAUAACCUCAAAGUGCACAUCAAUCACAAUGGUUCUCAGCACCGCAUAUUUAACCAACAAACGUUGCCUCUGCGCUCCAAGAUGAUACGGCAGCUAGAUAGAUAAGCACCCGCAUGAUGUGCUUCAGCAUUAGGCGGCAACGACGCCUCGAGGAGCGCCGCCGGGAGGAGGAGCUGAGGAGAAAGAAGACGCCAUGCUUCCGGAUCCGGAGGAACUUUGCCGCGAACGAGAUGGCCGAGCGAGAGAGGGCAGCGAUCGCGAGGGACGCCAAGGCGGCGGAGAAGGGGAAGGAGAAGAAGAGGAGGUUACAGGAGGAGGUGAGGAAGGAGCGGGAGAAGAUGAGGAAAGAAGAGGAGGAGAAGAGGGCGCGAGCUGAGAAGAAGAAGCUCAAGGAGAAGGAGCGGAAGAAGCGCGAGGAGGAGGCGAAGAAGAGGCGCGAAAAGGAAGAUACAGAGAAGAAGAGGAAAGAGGAGUUGAAGAGAAACAAGAGGGUGAAGAGAAAAUGAAACCAAGUGCCCACCGUAGCCGUAGCUAUGUUGAAUUUGAACAUUCCUCUCUUCUUAAUUCAGUGCAUGCAUGCAUACGUAUUCAUUGAUUCAGCUUUCAAGCGUAUGCGUUGGUCAUCAGCUCUUUUCAUCGCCGGACGUUGGGGCUCGCGCGUGCGAAUUCACGAUGGCGUUCUUUUCCAACUCAGGAGCCCAUAUAUGAUGGUGCAGAGUCCUCUACGAGCUGGCGCUGGCGAGCUCCUCAUGUCAGCCGCGCAACAGUUGCAACAAGAUACGUUUCAAGCUUUCAGCGGCAAAUUCUAGCUCCAGCUAAUGCAUAUCAUAAGAUGGAUUAUAAGCAGGGGAAAAGCAAUUGUCGUUUUCAUUUUUUUACACAUGGUGGGUUGUUCAGAACGCCAAAGUCAUUUGUGUUCAGUGCAUUGCCCUUGUUGCAAGUUUUUUUUUUUCGUGAAUACGAAGGAGAGCUGCGUAUCUUUGUAUUAAGAAGAUGAUGUAAAAACUUAGUAUAACGCAGGCUGUCCGGGCGCACGCACACGGUUAACAAUUUGUUAGCUAUUACAUGAGAGAUCAACAACCGUUUAGAAUAAAAACGAAGCUCAGGAUGACACUAUCCCGUUCCCUGAAUUUCUGCUGGUGCCGGCCAGCCGAGGGUGGCAAGAUGUUUGGCGCCAGCUGCUGACCAAAGAAUGGCUUCCUCGAUGAUCUGUUGUAACAGCUGCGCUGGCUGCAUAGGAGGCGCUCUGCUAAACACCCUGUUGUUGCGCUCUUUCCAAAUCUUCCAGGAUAUAAGCAUUAAGCUGGAGUCAAGUCCUUUCCUCCGUGUAGCGUUUAGGCCGUGUCUCAUCUGAAGCCACCAUUCAGUUAAACUCGUGUCUCGAUUUGGCGCCGGACUGGGAAUGUGCAGGAUGGAACUGACAAGGUACCAUAGCUGUUGUGUGUACGAGCAACGGGCGAACAGGUGGUCAGCGUCUUCUAAUUCCUGAUCACAUAAGGCGCGUGCAGUGCUGUCCUGUAAACCACGGCGAUGGCGUCUGGCAGCUGUCCACAGGCGAUCUCUGCAGGCUAGCCACAUGAAGAAGCGUACCUUCAUUGGCGCCCAGGCUUUCCAGAUCAACUUACCUGCAGGAGAGGUUUGUGAUCCAAUGAAGAAUGCUCUGUACGCAGAUCUUGCCGAAUAAACACCCGAGGGCUCCCAUCUCCAGGUGAUAACAUCCUCUAAACCAGGCCUUAACCGAAUAUGCUGCAGUUCGUGCCAAAGGUGCACAUACUGAUGGAUGGCCGGCACUGUUAACUAUCCGACAACGUCCGAAAUCCAUUUCUUAUCCUGCAUAGCUUCAGCCACCGAGCGUCUGUUUCUGAGUCUAGGCUUGACGAGGUUGCAAACAUCAGGGGCGAUGGAGCAUGGCGAUGAAUCACCAUUCCAUCUGUCAAUCCAGAAUAAGGCAAGGUUACCAUCCCCCAGCUGCACCUGGAUCGACUUGUUGCAAGUUUUGUAUGCCUGCUCAAACGUGGUGUCCUGCAUUUCUACUGCAAGCCAGUGGAAGUUUCAGUACGUGUACUACUAUAUGACUUACCGCUUACGGAUUGACUAUGCUCUUGGAUGAGAACUGUUUCAGAUUUGAGAAUCCACAGCCAGCUCGUAGCCUCCUACCCUUGGCUGUUGCAGAGUUUUUCGCUGGUUGCCUGAACAGUCGAACGAUAUAUGCUGAUGUAGUGCUAGAAACGAACUAGGAGCAAGAUCGACACGCGUGUUCUGAGGUUUAUGAUUUUUUUUUAUCUUUUUACUGUCUAACAUUUCAGUGGCCUAAUGUCCCAUGAAAACAAAAAUCUGGCUUUGAAAUUUUUGGAGCACGCAAACGCAAGGCAAAAAACAUAUCAACAGUAACCCGAGAGAAACAGAGAGAGAACCUUUCAUGGAGGAGAGAGCGCUCCUGACUUUGAGCUCGCAUCCCUCGCAGUCCAUCCUGACCUUGAGCUCCACCGUCUGCAGCUGCUUCCUCCUCGUCAUCUUGUCGUGGCCAUGGCCUCCGCUGCCUCCCAGCAGCCCCGACAGGUACUCCAAGGUGCCCCCCAUGGGAACUCAUAGGAACUCACUCUGCAACUCUGCAAGAGCAAGGCACACACCACUACCAGCAAGAAGCUCGAUCUCAAGAAUCAAGUCAAGAACUGCAGAGCACGCGCGCGCGCCAAGAACUGCAGAGCACGCGCGCGCGCGCGCGCACACACACACACACACACACAGAGAGAGAGAGAGAGAGAGAGAGAGAGAGAGAGAGAGAGAGAGAGAGAGAGAGAGAGAGAGAGAGAGCCCUUGGAAGCUACUGUCUAUCCCUAUGGCCUCUGCCUGUCACUGAUCUGUCUGAGCUGCUCAGCUGCAUGCCAACCCUACUAGCUGUGUGCAGGCAGGGCACUCUCUCCUGUCCAACAGGCCUUUAGGAAAAGCAGAUGGGCAGGGGCAAAUGCAGAAAGCUACCAAGAAACACGCACCAAGGGAACGUUCGUUGUUGGGUCAGGCCGGUGAUCUCUGGACCACGCCCCGCAUUGUAAAAUCGGUCAUUCAGGUGUUUUUUUUCCUUUUCCUUUUGAAAUGAACAGCGUUCAGGUGAGGGGGAGCAACCAUCCAAACAAGAAAUGCACUCUUUGGUAAGUGUCACACACAUAUGCUGCGAAUCAAAUACCUGCACAACGGCUGUUACUUGGAUCAGUUAAAACGGCGAGCGAUCAAAUUCCGACAAGCUGAAUGAACAUCUGGCCUAGGUAGGGGACGCCAACCAACCGUGAUGGCGACACAAGCUAAGAUCAUCGUGCCCACCAAGAGAUCUCUCGCAUUGCAAUUGUCGUUGGGCUUGGACGUUGGACCCCCCAACAAUACAUGGUGGAAUUUUACAUCAGCGGUAGGAAUUAUUAGAAGAAACCGCUGCCAUCACGACGCACCAAAAGAAAAACAAUCUGUGGGAAAUUAACGGUGGCUGAUUCAGUGAAGGAAGAGGAGCUGAGUAGGAACAGAAAGAGGAUGGACUGGUGUGCAUAUAUUUUCUUGAGGCGAAAGAUGAUCGAAUCUUAAUCGAUUUUAACUCCUACUUAUAUCCGGCGGUCAAAGGAGGAAGGUAACCAGGUAAGGCAAAUUCUCCAUGAUUUUGCAAGUGUUUUAUUCAAAUUUAUACGAUUUAUUAGUUCAUGUCUCUUUACUUCGCAGAUGAUUCAUAAAUUGAGCAUGGCAGAACCAUGCCUGUUUGACGGUGGCUGACUUGGUCAGACAACUGUUGUGUCAAUUUUCAAGUGUUGUUAACUGAUGAUGCCAGUUCUUAUACAUAAAACGAAGUAUUCUUUGGCUAUAAAAUUUGUUUCAAAUGAAAACAUCAGAAAAACAAAUGCAAAACAUAAGUUCCGUUCAGGAAAAAGUGUAUGAAAACAUCACUUCUGUUCGAAAAAGAGCGAACGCAUGGGCAGAAAUAUUCGAAUCCCAUCUUCGGUAAAGUAGGUACAAGCAAAAUCAAUCAGCCAGCAUUGACCUCAGUAGUCGAAAAUUUCUAGUGGUCACGGAACCACUAAUGGUGAUCAUCAAUACGUUGGAGAUGUCUGUGUGCCCACUGUCCAGUGCUCAUCAACAGCUGAACAGCAAUUGCAGUUGUUGCAACUUGAAAGCUCCAUCGAAGUACAAGUACAAAACAACAUUACAAGCAACUACAUCACGAAGUCGAUACCAUAAACUGUCAGGUAUGUCAUAGUCAACCUCCAACAAGAAGGCCACCAGAGGUAAAUAACGAUGAAACGCUAUUCCACGGCAAAAACACAGCAUUAAUCAAACAGCAACGCUAUUUUUAACAGUCCUCAGCCAGAAGAGUUAACAUAUAACAAAAGAUUGGCUUGCAACAUUGCAUUCCUAUGGCCUAUGGCUUUCAGAAGCACUUAAUUGAUCAACAAUACUAUGCUUGAAGUACUACUAUAUCCACACAUGGUUACACUGGUAAAUAAGGAACUGACAAGUUUGUACCAGAGGUGAAUCCUCAGAGUUUCAAAGGCAAGCUAUACGGUCAGUGUCAUAGAUCACAGCUGCUAGUGCACGUUACAAACCACUCAAAACUUUCUUUUCUUGUGAACAGGCAAAAUGUCCGUGUCAUUGAAUUAAGAGAGAACACGGUGCCGCGGCGCACCUAGGGCAGCUCAUGCUAGGCGGGGUACAGACAUGAAAACUUGCAACGAAACAUAUCAAAGCCUACUACAGAAGAUAACAACAAAUUAAAUGAUGCAAAAUAGGCCAGUUUUCCCCCUACUUCCAAGAAUUGACUUCUAUAAAUUCUACAUUACAGUUGAGAACUGGCAGAUCAAAUAUGGCUGCGGAGAUGAUUGCUGAUAUUCACGCACCAAAUCUACCUUCAGCAUGUGAUGUUUUCUAGCUUAUAAAGCAUGCAGUGAGAAUUUACAAGCGAUACCACAUGAUUUAACUUUUCCAUUUUAUUCACAAAAUACAUAUACCAAGAGUUUUAUUUGCAUAAAUAUUACUCAUGCAACCAAUUGAAUCAAAUACAUAGACGCCUACAACUCUCAUCAAGGGAAAUUAAAACAACUUGGAAAAUGUGUUUGGUUAGCCAUUUCCCAACUACAAAAAGAAUCACCUCAGCAAUUGAUUUUGAACAAGAACCUUGCAGGCCAGUAUUCUAUAAUUCUGUCAUAAACCAUCCAGGAAUAAUCAUCAUGUGAUUAAACAAAAGCGAACCAUGAAAGGUCAGUACCGUCACACAGCAGCACCUUCAUCAAUUACUACAGCACCAUAAUGAUCAAUGUCUCCAUUCUCACCUUUACCAAAUACAAAACCUUCAUGUAAUCUUUGGACAGAAUUUUUCAAAAACUGUUAUGAAACUAUAAACUUCUGGUGCACCCAUGGUAUCAGAUAUCUUCAACUCAAUGCACCAGUUGUAUGUCAUAAAGAUGACUUCAUUCUUUAUACCUUCAACCCCAAAGGGCCAAACAAAGUCAGCGAACCAGACCACGUCACAGAUGCCAAAGAACAAUUGAACAUGUGAAUGUCGAAAAUCACAAUUCAUUUCAAGCUAACCUUUGAACAACUGUUUUCAUCAUCAGGCUAACCUUAAACAAUCGUUUUCAAACAACACAUGAAAUGGACGGAACCUAUGACGGGUACCUGACAGAACAUAAGCUUUACCUUUAAUAAUACAAUCACAAAUAGUGUCAUGGACCAAAACAAAGAGAAUGGAGGCAUUUCACUUGAGCACCACUCGAAAUGAACAAAUAAUUCAAACUAGCAUAUUCUAGUCACCUUAUACAGUAACACCAACAACAACUACACAAGGCUGGCUGUUCAAACCAAUCCAGGCUAGUAAUAUAAAGCAUAGUGCAGGAAGAACUUAUGGUGUGAUUCCGGAAAAAUCUAUCACUCAUAUCAGUGAUUAAGCUUGAGGUUGGACAAAAGCUACAAGAACGCAAUACCCCUGCCCGACCGCUGCAAUCCCAUCAAAUUCCAAUUCGAAACAAAUAAGGCGCACGCGUACGUUGCAUCGUCUAAGAACACUAGGAACAAAAGAGGGGACACCUUGGUGGGAUCACUCGAGUGAUACGGCGGCGCCGGCGGCCUUGAGCUUGGCCGCGAGCGCCUCGGCCUCCUCCUUGGGCAACCCCGUGCGAACCACGACGGGCGCCUUCUCCACCAGCUCCUUCGCCUCCUUCAGACCCAGGUCCGUCACCGCGCGCACCUCCUUGAUGAUCUUGAUCUUCGCCGCGGCCUCGUACUUCUCGAUCUUCACGUCGAACGCCGUCUUCACCGCCGCGGCGGCCUCCUCGGCUCCCGCGGAAGCGUCCCCGGCCCCGGCCGGAGAGGCGGAGCUUGAGGCGCAGGAGUGCGGCGUAGUCGUCCAGCUCGGCUGGGGAGAGGGCGAGGAGCUUGUCCGCGAUCCGCGACAGCUUAGGGUGCUCGCCGGCGGCGGAGGCGGGGGACCAGUUGUGCCAAUUUGGAGAAGAAGAGUGGCAUUUUGGUAAUUACUGGGAAUCACGUGGGGGGUUGUUUACCGUCCGGGGAACGUUGUGCAAACCAUCUACCCUAUACAAUGUUGGAAACUAUGAAUCAAGAUCACAAGAUGCUAAUCCAAUGAAUAGGAUUAGAAGUAAGAUUAUUUUGCGCUUAAACCUCCCACCCACCAGCCAACCAAUACCCUGCAGCCAGGUGUCUGUUUCCCCUAACCCCUUCACCCCUAACCCCCUUGCCCCUUGCCCCAUCGCGAGUAGCCCGCCGCUGCUCUUGAGAAUCGCGUAAUCCAUCACCGUCCGUCCGUCCUUGGUGCGUCGCCGUCCUAGUGUGCUCGCCGCCGCCCCGCCGCCCGUGGCCCUCCGCUUCCCUGGUGAGGGCGCCGCCGCCCACUGCCCACCUUUUACUCACGAUGGAAGGGCAGGGAAAAUGGAUGCUUGGCUGCACGGGGUAUUGGAAAUAGUGGCCGGCGGGUGGGGGAGCUUAAGCGCAAAAUAAUCUUAUCUCUAAACCUAUCUAUUGGAUUAGCAUCUUGUGGCUUUAAUUUAUAGUUUUCAAGGUUGCACAGGGUAGAUGGUUUAUACCAGAUACAUUCCGUUUCGAGCCCGUGUGGAAGACGGGGCUUAUAGGAGGACAAGAGAUGCCAAGUUUCAAAUACGCUUACUAACAGUGAAAGCGUAUUCCAUUUUGCCCGUCACGGCCGGAGGCGUUCACACUGAUGCGCAUGCGUGCUCCCCACUUGUCAGUGGGUAACCCCUUGCCGCUUGGGCUUGCCUGUUCUCCAUUUCCAAUGACCCCCCCACCGCCACUAGCUUUCUGAUUACUGGGCGCCACACCCGGUGCAAGCGCAAACAGCACGCCUUCUGUUCUUGCUGUCGCUCUCCCCCGGGGCAAAGCAUAAACCUCAGUGGCCUCGUAGAAAUCGAAAUCGGAAUCGGAAUCCGACGCGAGUGGUCGCGCGGAUUCACGAGAGCGCGACGGCUCGAUUAUUCUCUCGCAGUCCCCGAUCCCCCAUCCUCGUUGCUGUUUUUUUUGCUUUUGGGAUUUUUCCGGAAUUUUUUCGGUGUUUUUUUGGUUGUUUCGUUUCAGAAUUUUUUUGUGAGCAUGAAACCGGUAGCCCUCCUUGUUAUCAACAGCCAUUUGAGAAGUUGAAAUCUUAUGUUCUUGGGUUGUAGAGAUUAUUUACUAUAACGCAUUCCAAAAAAAUUCUGAUAUUGGCUCAGAACUAGUGAAACUUAAGUUCAGUAUUGUUUCAGGUACAUGCUACAUUUCAUCAAUAUUGCAGUUCAUAUCCUAUCUGCACCUGCUCUUCAUGUAUCAGGCUUUAAGGUAAGAUCCAAUUCACUGCCUGAAUCCUGCAUUGGAGUAAUUGCAAUACCAGAUUAGGAAACAUCAAUUGCUUAGUCCUGUCAGUUUAAUAGCACGUAUCUUCACCUGUCCUUUUUAUGUAAAUAGUGUGCAUGUGUAUUCUGCAAGUUGUACAGGUUUAGAUGUGUUGUGCAUGAGUAGCACCUUGAAGGCUACCAAGUUGGUUCAUUGGCUAACAUAUUUGUAACGUGAUGUAUUAGGGUUCAUGCUCACAAAUUUGGCAGCGAAGUUCUUACUGGAGUACACGACAGUCCCAGAGGUAUUGUAUCUAGUAAAAGCAGCAGCUCUCUAUCGUGAACAUAUAAGACCUUUACUAACAUGACAUUUUUCCUUCUUUUCAGCAAAGUUUACCCACUUUUCAUACCUAGGAAAAAUGUAUGCACAGGUGGUGAGGAAAGUUCAUUGACAGAAAGUGGCUCGGCUAACUUUGGUGUCGACUCUAUCGAUUCUGUCAAGAAACACUCUUUUGAUUCGAAGAGAAGCAAUAGCUUCAACUUUUCUGGUGCAUCUUCCCACUCCAUGGAAAGGCAUCAAUAUUUGCAAAGAGGAAUAUCACUAUUAAAGACAAGUGUUACUGCCAUUACUACCUACUAUUAUAACUCACUGGGCUUGGAUGUGCCAUCCAAUCUAUCUACUUUUGAGGCGUUUGCAAAGUUGCUCCAUAUGUUAUCGUCGUCAAAGGCCCUUCGAGCUGCUCUAGAAUCGAACAUUGCUUCAAGGUAGCGUAUGCUGUUUCAUAGUAAUGCAUUCUGUGAUCCCAUAUCCUUGGUUGUCGAAAGGGGGUAAAAAAACUAUGUCUGCUGCUUCCAGGUCAGAGAAGCAAGCACAGCAGCUAAACAAAUCUAUUUGGAAGGCAAGCUCGGCCAUAUCAUCUGACAGCAGUUUUAUGGACAGCAUUCACACAACCAUCAUGGUAAAUUCCUGGUUUGCUCUUACCGUCUUACGUACAUUUUUGCAUGUAAACUUCAAUUUGAUUUUGAUAGUAUCUGUCUUCUUACCAGCCAAGCACUCUGGAUAACCUCCUUCUGAACUCAAAUAAGAGCUUCUUGUACACCAGUAAGCUGGUGAAGCACGGUGGCGUGCCAGACAACAUCUUGGAUGAGGUCCUACCGCCACCGCCCUCGGAGGUUGAAAAUGUCGCGCAGUGGGAAAGAGCCAUGUAUGCUGAUGGUGGUACCAAAAAGAAAUGACUUAUAUUUACAACUCUCUGAAGACCAAACUGAUACAACACUGCAAGAGCUUCAGUUAGAUAUGUGCACCUGACCAGGUUCGGGUUCAGUACUGAACGAAGCUCACCGUGUGGCUGAGUCAUCCACACUGUAGACUGCAGAAGGGCAUUUUAGGAUAGGGUUGAUCUGCUGAAUAUGUACAUGUUCAUCCCUGUAAAUUGUAAAUAUAAGUUUAUAUCGUUUAUUACAAAGGUAAUAAAAUGCCUGAUUGUUGGUUGAUAUUUCUUCCUGCAAGUGAAAAGCAAUUCUUUUACAUAUGCUGCAAGAAUGCAUCGGUGCAACCAACACAUGAACAGAAAAGAAGUGAAAUUCAGUAACAUUUUGUGGAGGCCAGUAAAGCACCAAUUGCUUAUGCACUGCAAAGAGCGGAUCACAAAUAUUAUUUUUCCUUGAAGAUUUAUGUAUUCCUUUGUCUUAUAGCACAACCCAGUAUUUAGCCGAUUCUCCAUGCAUAAAUAUGUGGCAUUGCAAAUGAAUUUUCUUAUCCUGAGCUGCAGUUGUAUAGUUUGUGUGUAUAUCUAGCGCCGCAGUGGUAGUGCAUCAGAGUUUCUCGCCUUGUGGUGGAUUAAUGAUCAGAUUCUUCCAUUCAUGUUUUAACCUACAUAAAUACUUUAAGUAUCUUGUUAAAGCCUACUGCCUGGAGAAUAUGCACUAGUAUAUAAACUGAAGGCUAAUCAAAAUACUCCUGGCAAGUGAAGUCUGUGGCUAGCUGUGGUUUACCGACAGCUAAACCAAUCAAUUAGGGGCAGGAAUUAGUGUCAUAGGAAUAUAGGUGCAGCUACCUUUUUGUGGAUUGAUGCUAUUUCUCACACAGUAAGUGAAUAAAAAAUAUCUUCGUUUAUUCCAUCUGAUUAUGCCAUUCCAUUACAGUUUAUGAUGGCAAGGGAACCCUUGAGGAAGGGGAAACUGCUGAAGCCCGGUUCAUCAAAAUCCAAGCAGCAUAUGAGCUGUUGAUUGAUGAUGAAAGGAGAAGAGCAUAUGAUAGAGAGCAUCAUGUGAAUCCAAUGAAGGUCUGAAUUUCCUUGCCUCACUUAUUUAUCCUUUCAUUACAUGCUCCUAUCAUUUCGUGUUCGAGAAAAUUUUUCUUUGUGUUCGAGAAGAAAAUAUACCAUGUUGUUUGAAAGUGGCAUUCCUGCUGUUCUGAAAACCGUUCUCUCUUUGAACCAGGCUUCUCAAGCAUGGAUGGAGUGGGUAAUGAAGAAGCGAAAAGCUUUCGACCAACGUGGUGACAUGGCUGUGGCUGCCUGGGCUGAGCAGCAGCAACGCGAAAUGACACUACGAGCACGGCCUCUUACGCUCAAAGGUGAGCACGGCCGCUGUUUCUGCUCGUCUGCUCCUGUGCGAUACUAGUUAUGCUUUGCAUGCCAUACGAUAAUUGCUUGAUCCCUAGCAUUUUUUUUAGAACGUUGACUAGUUCUUGGCACUUGCAAUUGCUUGAUCCUUAGGAAUUUUUUAGAACAUCGAUGAGUUCUCAAGCAUCACAAGAUCGCAGAAGUCCCAGUCUUUACGCACCCAAGGUAAAACAAAAGCAGCAAUGUGAUGCUUGUCGACGGGCCAUGGGGGUGCCGUCGUAGUCGAACCACAAGGAACAACGAUCUGCUUCCCCUCGCGGCGAGCACCGACCCGGGUUCGUCUGGCAGAGGUAGCGGCCAUCGAUUUCAGACCGAGACACAUAUCCCUUCUCAGAUACUAGUAGCUUUCCGUUUUUGGAUGUACGGCUCCGCGGGCACGCAACCCUCGGCUGUUGUUUUCUCUUUCCGCGCAUUUUCUUUACCACGCGCCAUGAGCUUCGUCCAGCGUCCCAUAGACCUAUUUUCUUUAUUUUUGUUGAAUUCUCUUUUGCUGGCAAAUCAUUUGGGGGUUGGGUGAGGGGGAGUAAAAUUGGGUGGUAAAAGCUAGUUUCAACAGGAAAAUAUAUAUACUUAUAUACAAAAAUUACUCAGAAAAGCAUUCAAGCUAACAAAAAAUGUAUAUCCAAGUUGUUAUAUAUAACUUUGAACCUCCUUUCUCUUUCAUAAAAUACUGAUCUCAAUUCUUGCUCGACCUGGGCAUAGGCACCUGUCAUUUCAAAUUCGCCCUGCAAAUUACGUCAGUAGGCAGUAGUUGUAUAUAAUAUAUGAAAAAAUAGUCAUGUAAAGUUAUAUCCCUAAGUUUGACAUACCCAAUAACUUAUGCACAUAAAUAUAGAUAAAAAAAUCACUUGCCUCACUUAAUGAAAUAAUCAAAAUUUAUCCCAUACCUUAUGCACAAAAUAUAUAAAACAAUUCUCUCAAUUUAACUUAUUGACGUGAACAGAAUUUAUCUACAUAACUUAUGCACACAAAAAAUAUGCAAUAAUCUCUCGACAUAACUUGUUGAUAUGAGCAAAAUUUAUCUGCCUAUCUUAUGCAAAAAAAAAUAUGUGUAAUAAUCUUUAAGCCUAACUUUUUAACAUGAUAAAAAUAUGUCAAAAAUGUUGUGAAAACAACCAUUCUUACGCAAACUUAUCAACAUGACUAAUAAUUUAUAUGUAUUACUUAUACGCAAAAAAAUAUAAAAUUAUCUAUUUCCAUAACUUGUCGACAUAUACAAAAUUAUGAGCACGACUUAUGCGCAAAAAUAUGUAUAUCCAAUAGUUUUAUCUCAUCCUUAUUGAUAUGGUGCAAUUUGUCCACAUAAUUUAUCACAAAAAGUUAUAUGCAAUUAUUUAACAACAUAAAACAAAAUCUUGAGGCCAAAACUUACCUAAAUUGCUAUGAAACAAUGUUAUUAUGUUACUGACGCAGCUUAUGUAUAGGGUUUAGGGUGCACACGACGAAAUCGCUUUUGCCAAAUUCAGUUUGCAAAGUGCUCCCCUGAAGCACAUGGCCCGUCCAGGCGUCCAGCCGUGCACCCGCUUCCAGCGAUGCGGCACCCCCUUGAGCCCACGCGGCCUGCGAGUUCUGCCGCGUGCGAUGCGCACACAGCACAAAUGUCUAGUCCGCAGUCCCACAUCCAUCCCCGGAAAUCCCACGGCGGCAGCCCGCAGCCCCGCCGCGCACGCGCUCGGUGCUUCACACCACCGACAUCUCCCCGCAGCUGGAUUGGAUUACAUGCAUGCCACUGCCAGCACGAGACCGCCGCUGCUACCUCCCACCGCGAUCCCCGCCCCCGCGCGUCGCUGACCACUGACCCCACCCCCACCUGGUUCCACGCGCUAUUGACCUAUGUGCGUGCGGGUGGACGCGCCUUAUUUUUAGGAGCGAGUGCCCACCGAAAACAGGCCAUGGCACCGGCACGGCAGAUCCUUUCUCCAUCCGCUGGUGAAACUGAAAGGAAUCCCCUCACGCCCCCUUCGCCAUCUAUAGCUCAAGCCCCACCUCCCGAUCUCCGGUCCCCCGCCCAUUAACGGCCCGGCACACCCACGCCCGUUCCAUCUCCGCCCCCAUCCCAUUCCACCCCACCCCACCUCCCGCGCCCAUCAUGUCACCAGCGCCGCUGCUGCCGUUGGCGGGGGAGCCAUUCCGCGUGUUCGUGGGGUACAACCCGCGGUGUUCAUGCAAAGAUCAACACAAGAACUGGGAGAAGUGCUGCAAAGGGAUCACCAACCUUUCAGUGCAGAGCGUCGACUUUCGUUGACGCCAGCGUCCGGCUUGAGCUUGACGAGAACCCUGAGGCGAUCAUCUCAGGCGAGUGGCCUGAGAACUCCUUCCUUCUCAGCUACGAUGAUCUCCGUGCCUACCUUGAGUCACAGGAGGCUGUCCAAGAAGGAGAUCAGGUACUUGAUCUGGAACUCUUAAAGCUGUCAUUGUUAUCUGUC